This 77689-nucleotide long non-coding RNA is filed under the name Marmota monax (woodchuck). The stretch from base 33897 to 33967 matches the Rfam family "tRNA". The record is from RNAcentral. Lineage: Eukaryota; Metazoa; Chordata; Mammalia; Rodentia; Sciuridae.
GCGAAGGUGGUGGGAGGCGGCGGGCGGGAGCGCAGGUCUGGCCGGCCCUGGCGAUGGCGGACGCGGCGGCCUCCCCGGUGGGCAAGCGGCUGCUGCUUCUGUUCGCGGACACCGCGGCCUCAGCUUCAGCCUCGGCCCCCGCGGCGGCGGUGGCGAGCGGAGAUCCGGGGCCUGCGCUGCGCACUCGGGCCUGGCGGGCCGGCACGGUGCGGGCCAUGAGCGGGGCGGUGCCCCAGGACCUAGCGGUGAGUGGCGGUCGAGACGUGCACUCGAGGCCGGGGCUGCAGGGCCUGUGGGCGGCCUCCCCGGGGGCCUUUGUGAGGGGGCGGUGUGGUGGGGGUGACCCAGUUCCUCACCCCCGGAUCUCCUUAGCGCCCCCCGCCGGCACUUCGGCACCCCGAGCUCUGGCCUGCAUGGCUUCCGCGUCGGGGUGCGCGCCCCAGUUAACCCCCGGAGGGCGGCCUGGGUGCCAGGAGCUGCUGCUUUUAGCCGGCAGGCCCCGCCUCCUGAGCGACCCUUUGCUAGGCGUCCCCUCCCCGCACCCCCCCUCCCGCAACACGCCUUCCGAGCAGGCUUUCGAACCUUGGUGCCGGGGCCCCGCAGAGUUCGGCCGGUGCUGCCGCUUUCCCCUAGAAAACGCGGACCUGUAAUCCCCAGGUUCUCCCCGGAGACCUGCGCCCUGUUCCCUUCCUCCCGGAGUCUCUAGUGGGGCGAGAAUGUGGGCAGUUGUAGGAAGGCAGUUGGAGCUGCUUGGGGCUUUUUUAUCUGGCAGUUACUUCCUCCUUGUCUGAGCCGUGCUGGGCCUGGCGCUCUUCAGAAAGACCAGCUCUCAGGACUGUUUAGAGCUCCCCUAUCUUUGCGCUUCUGGGUGACAGGAGCUGCUGUUGUGGCUUUUUGAUAAGUUUGAGAUCUGACUUAGUCGAAUGGGGCUGCAGGGUGGUGCUUUUUUGCUCCCAGCUUGUCUGUUCCCCCAACCUUGAGAGAGGUUUUGUUUUGAAACUUUGUCGGGGCUUGGCUGCUUUUGCACGCUUGCCUUCAUGUAUUUUGUGAUUAAAGUUGUUCAGCAAAAAACUUUGCCAGCAUUGGGGACCAUAAUGUGUUAGUUUUGUUAAUGUGGCGGCAAAAUACUGUCUUUGAGUUUUAGCCAACCUCAAUAGUUCCUCAUUCUGGUAGCGUAGCCCUAGCCUUCUCUGGUGAGAUAAGGCUAAGAAAAAUGGGGGCGGGGGACUUUUUGGAAUGUAAAGGAUCAACAAGCCGAAUGUAAAUGUUGAUGAAUUUCCUUCUGCAGACCUUUUCUUAGCUCUAAACGGGAACUCAUUUUGUGAGAGUGGGAGUAAUGUUUCUGAUGUUUUUCUAUUGAUCAACAGUGUUAAACUGUCUUUUAUUAUGAUACACAAGCUUUAUGGGUAGUUUUGCUUAGGUUUUGAUUCUGCUUCUUGAGUUCCCUUGCUUUGAUUUUUCUCCAUGCCCUAUAAGAAAGGCUGGUAGGGCAUUUAUGAAGCUUUAGUGGGGCGAAUUUGUAAAAAGAUACCAGGAAUAUAAGGGAGAGAGGGGGAUCCAUGGUUAAGACAGGAAUUUGGAUAUAAAUUCUUCUGUGCUUUCUUUAGAAGGUGACUGGGAUGGGGGAGAGGUAUGCUUCUUAGAUUCAGUAAUUCACCCUGGUAAGCAAAACGUACUUGAGUUUCACCCUUAUGUGCAUUCUUUGACCAGAGGCAUCCUCAGCUCUCUUUUCAGUUGGGAUUUUAUUUUCUAAUUCUUCCAAUGGUUGUUUCCUCCAUCAGUUGAAUUGCUAAUGAGCUCUGCACCUGAAAUGGCUGCCCAUUCACUUUGUUGUUUGCUGGGCUCCCUAAGGGCAGAGGUGUUUGAAGCUCAUUGAGAUGCUGGACAACAUCUAAGCUAAAUACUGAAUAAUUUUACCACUGGGCACGUGGAACUGGGUUAUCAAUCCGUAUUAAAAAAAGCAAAAUGUUCUUACAAACUGUUGAAUUCUUAUAUGAGGCCAUGAAUUUAGAAGCAAAGGCAAGUUUGAGUUUUGCAAAUACAUUUGUGCUUGUCUUGUACAUAUAUCCAAGGGGCGUUAAUGAGAAAACAGCCAUAACAAAACUCAGAGCCUUUUUAUUUUAUUUUAUUUUUACCAGCUUGCUACCCAAGAAUUGCUGUUAUGUUGAGGUCCUAUUAAUGACAGUGACUAGUAGAGGAUCAGAACUAGCAGUUUUGUUUUCCUUUUUCAUUGAAAUUUCCUUUGGACCCUGGGCAUGUGGACCUUUCCAAUUUGCACCACACACUGUAGUAAACACAACUAUCUUCCAAUCACAAGUGUUCUUCCUGUACUCAACGGUGGAGUUUGCAAGCAGCUGCCUCACGAUUGGACAGAUUUUCUUUCAGUUAUGUUUAAGAUGUUUUCAGGCAUGCUUGGUUUUGAGUAAUACAAGGCAGGGCGCCCCCUGUUAAGGAUGAGUAAUUGAGGGUUGGAUUGAAAUGAUUAAAAAACAUACUUUUCAAUUUUAAUCUCCAUUAAUAUCUUCUUCUAAAUACUUUUUGAUUCUAAAGUCAUUCAAAAUACUGAUAUAUUUAAAGAAACCUUUAUUGGGAAACAAUACCAAACCCAUGGGCUACCUUAAAUGUGAUGUGAAAAAAGUUAAUUCAGGAUGCUGUUGGUUGGGAAUUUUGUUGGUAAUGAUCUUAUAGAUGGCCCUCUUACCCAUUAAAUCUUUCCUGAGAAAUAACUAUUAAGAUUUUUAGCCAAAAAUAGAAAAACACCCCCCACCCAGUGGAAUAACAGCUUUGUUAUUAAAAUUAGGCCUUUUAUGUUUAAAAAGAGAAAAGUCCUGUUGCAGAAAUAAGUUUCAUGGAUUUUUAUGCAUUUAUCCCUGGUUCCUCUCUAAACCAGUUGUCCAGUUUGUGUUUCUAAGUCAUUUAUUGAUUGAGGUAAGUCGUGUAGACCUUGGGAUCUUCACAGUGUGUAGGUACAAUAGCUAAAACAGACAACAAUCCCCCUCCCCCCCCCAAAAAAAAAAACCCACCAAAAACAUGGAUUUAAAUUUUUUUUUUUUUUUUAGUUGUAGUUGGACCCAAUACCUUUAUUUUAUUUAUUUAUUUUUAUGUGGUGCUGAGGAUCGAACCUAGGGCCUCACUAGGUGAGUGCUCUACUGCUGAGCCACAACCCCAUCCCCUGAAUUUUCCUUUUUGUUGAUAUAAAAACAAAACUUGCUAUUUGCAAAGUGUUAAAACGGUUAUUCACAUGAAAAUUCAUCAGUCUCCAUCUCUAUAUGCCCUAGUUUGCUAAAAAGGGUAAGUUAUCUUUACUAGUCUUUAUUAAUACUUAUACAAAAUAUGAAAACGUGUAUACAAAAUAUUGCUUUUUUUUUUUUUAAAGUAAAUGAUACCUUCCUGUACCAUAUCUGCAGGCUGCUUUUUGUUUUUCCUUUCAUUUUAUUUUAUUUUUUAGUUGUUGAUGAACCUUUAUUUUAAUAAUUUACUUAUUUAUAUGUGGUGCUGAGAAUCAAACCCAGUACCUCACACAUGCUAGGCAAGUGCUCUACCACUGAACCGCAACCCCAGCCCUUGUUUUUUUUUUAAUAUUUAUUUUUUAGUUGUAGUUGUUAAUACCUUUAUUUUUUUAUGUGGUGCUGAGGAUUGAACCCAGGGCCUUGAAUGCGCUAGGCGAGCGCUCUACUGCUGAGCCACAACCCCAGCACCCCCAGCCCUUGUUUGUCCUUCUUAAUUUAACAUUAUACCAUAGGCAUUUAUAGUGACAUACUUUAACCAUCACCCCCAAGUCCACCUACCGGCCCCCACCUCAGGAAUCCAGGGUCUCUCAAGUGAGAGGAAAGUACUCUAUAUACUGAGCAAUGCCAAAAACAUUUUUGAUAAGUCCUUUAUAUUCCAUAGAAAGGAUGUACCAUAACUUACUCAUUCUUCCUUUUGGCAAACAUUCAAGUUGUUUAAAAGUUUUUGGGGGCACUAAAAACAAUGCUACCAUUAAUAUACUUGUACAUAUAGCUUUAAGUGAUCUAGAUUUCCUUUUGUAUUUUGGACAUCCACAAUUGGGACAGUUAGGUUGAAUAUAUGUGUUUUGAUGUUGUUUUGCCUCUUUUGUUUUGUUUUCCUUUUGUAGUACUAGGUUUUGAACCCAGGUGCUCUAUUCUACCACUGAACUAUGUCCCCAGUUCUUUUUUUUUUUUUUUUUUAAUUUUUUAAAAUUUUGAGAUGAGCUCUCACUAAGUUGCUAAGGCUAGAAUUGAACUUGUGAUCCUCCUGCCUCUGCCACCUGAAACACUGAUAUGACAGGUGUAUACUAUUGUACCUGGCCAAAAAUGUCUUUUUCUUUUUUCUUUUCCUGUUGUGUGUGUCUGUGCACCUGCACAUACAUGCUCAUGCACAUUGUUAGGGAUUAAACCAGGGCCUCCUGCAUGUUAGGUAAGUACUCUACCAUUGAGCUGUGCCUCCAGUCCUGUAUUACAGGUUAUUUUCCUACACAUGAUAACAUUUCAGCCUCACCAACAGCAAGUGUAUAUACUGUUUCCUUCACCAGUAUCAUCAGUCUUUUUCAUUUUUGCCAGUCUGAUAAGUGAAAAUAGUAUCUAGCAUUUUCAUGACUACUGUUUUCUUUUCCUCUGAGUAUUAACCUUUUAUGUUUCUUUUUUUUUUUCUAUUUUUAAGCUAUUUAUGUGUAUCUUUUGCCCAUUUGAGAAAAAUGUAGAUUGUCCUAUCACUUUAUCAGUUCUGUGCAUGGAUUAAAUUACCUGUCUAUAGAGUGUUAUACUUAUUUUGUCUCAGUUGUUUUUUGACUUUGUUUAUCGGUUUCUUUUCAUACAAAGUCUUUUUCUUAAUUUGUUCUUUUUAGAGAUACAUGACAGUAGAGUGUAUUUUGACAUAUUAUACAUACAUGGAGUGUAACUUAUUCUGAGGAUCUCAUUGUUCUGGUGCAAAUAUAGUUCUUAUUCAUCCGAACAAUAUGCUUGUAAAGGACUUCUCCAUGUUAAAUUUUUAUAUUCUUUGUGUGUGUGGUGCUGGGGAUUGAAUCCAGGGCCUCUUGCAUGCUAAGCAGGUGCUCUACCACUGAGCUAUAUUCCUGGCCCUUUUUACAUUUUAUUAUAUUGAGACAGUGCUUCACAAAGUUGCCCGGAUUGGCCUUGGCCUUAAAAAUCCCUCUGCCUCAGUCUUCGAAGUAGCUGGGAUUACAGGCAUGCACCAAAAUGCCCAUUUUAGAACUCUUCUUCAAAUUUCCUAAUAAUUUCAUUUAUUUUUAUCUUUGGAUCUUUGAUCCAUCUGGAAUCUUGUUUUAGUUGGCAUGUGAAAAGGGGGAUAACUUUUUUUAUUCCUACUAAGUAACCAAUUGUGUCAGCACUAAUUUUUAUUAAAUCUUUCUUGCUGUGUGGUAGAAUUAAAUGAUGCUAUAAGUGCAGCAUUGAUUUGUUUUGAAUGUGUAACAUAGACAUCUAGAACUUGAAAGAGCAAGUGGAAGUAUAUCUGCCUUAAUUUUUUAUCCCUUAAUCUUUCAUCUCCAUUUCAGAGGAAGAGGGACUCUAAAAUAUUCCUUUCUUUUGAUUGGAGAUAAUGCAAUAAUUGUAGCAGUGUUCAGGCUAGUACUGUGUUAUUUCAGUCUGGAAGUUUUCCAAGAGGAAUGAAAGUGUAUCUGCCUUAUUUUUUUACAUCAACCUUUCACUUUGUCUCAGGAUGUAGAAUAGGUAGACUCCAAAAUACCUGUCUACCUUGUUUCUAAGUAAUGUAAUUAUAGUCAUAUACCAUAUUUCUAGUGUAGAAUCCAUUCUUUAUUUUCUACCUAUGUUCAAGCCUAGAAUUUCAGACCUAAUCAAAAUGGAGUUUGUGGCUUUUAAAAUGGUUAUCUUUAAGUGUCCUUUUUUUACCAUUUCAAACGUUAAAUAAAAAUAUGAGUGCUAUACAAGGCCUGGGGUUUGAUUCCCCAGCCCCCCCCACCCCCCCAAUAUACACAUACACACAAAAACAUAUUUGAUAUCAUGACAUCUUAUGCUGUUUUUUAUGGCUUAUAGAACUUUAAAUAAAAAUGAUUGUACUUAUUUGAUGAUAAGAAUGUAUACUAUUCAAUUGUCACCUCCUCUAAGCACAAGUAUCUUAACUCUAAUUUUUUUUCUUAAUUAUUUUUGAGAGAGAUUCUCACUGUGUUGCCCAAGCUGGCCUCUGAACUACUAGGCUCAAGGGAUCCCCCUGAUUCAGUCUUUCGAGUAGCUGGGAGUAUAGGGUGUGCUACCACGCCUGACAAAGUUCAUUUUAAAAAAUAUAUGUUUUUUUUGUUGUUGUUGUUUGUACUGGAGACUGAACCCAGGGGAGUUUACUAAUGAUCAACAUCCCCAGCUUUUUUUUUUUUUUUAACUUUUGAGAUAGGGUCUCACUAAGUUACUGAGGUUGGCCUCAAACUUGGAAGUCCUCCUGCCUAAGCCUCCUAAGUUGCUAGCAUUACAAACAUGUGUUCCCAGGUUUGGCUUUUAUGUGUGGUUUUUAAUAACUCAUGUCUUUUUAAUUUUUAUUUUUUGGGGUGCUGCGGAUUGAGCCCAGGGCUUUGUACCAACCACACACUCUACCACUGAAGUAGAACCCCAGCCCCUAAAAGCUCUAUCUUAAUUUAUCUCUGCAUUCUUCUUCAGGGCUAUACAAUAUGUACACCAAUGAUCAUACUAUACAUUGGUCAUUUUGUCUUACAUUCUCUCUUUUUACUACACGGUCAGAUUUUUCCUCUUAAUUAUCCAUUUGUUUGUAAGAACUUGCUUCACUAACUUCCCACCUGCCUAGGGCUCAUUCCCUAGUAUACUACUUUUACUUGCUUGCUUCUCAUUCCAACCUUUUCUGGUUGAUUUUGUUUUUCCUCUAUAAACAAAUGGUAGGUAAGAAACAUGACAUUUUCUGUUGUUGGUGAUUUUCUUAACAACAGCUGGGGUGGGUUCCUAUAGUCUUAGCUUCCUCAAGGCCUAGGGGACAUAACACCUGUUGUUGCUUCUCAGUUUUCCAUUGCCUUUGACAGAUUGGUUUUUUAUUUUUUUGUUUUUUGUUUUGUUUUAAUUGUAGAUGGACCUUUAUUUUUAUUGGUGCUGAGACAUGAACCCAGUGCCUCACACAUACAAGGCAAGAGCUCUACCGCUGAGCCACAAUCCCAGCCCCUGGAUUGGUGAUUUUAAAACCCUCCCAAAUCUGCCAUCCACCCGUACUGCCAAAAUAUAAAAAAUGUGCCUGGUUGGUUGGUCGGUUAUUUAUUUAUUUAUUUAUUUAUUUGUUUAUUGGUACUGGGGAUUGAACCCAGUACCAAUAAAUAAAUAAAUAAUCACUGAGCUACAUUGCCAGCCCUUUUUUUAAAUUUUGAGACAGGAUCUCACUAAGUUUCUGAGACUAGCCUGGAAUUUACCAUCCUCCUGCCUCAAUCAUCCAGGAUGCUAGGAUUAUAAGUGUGCAGCACCAUGCCCAGCUCUUCCUAAGUUUUUAGCAGUGACUUUCUACUGCUGGUUGUUUAGGUGUGACUUCUCUCAAUUUUGCAAGAGCAGAAACUCCUUUGUGUGUGUGUGUGUAUGUGUGUGUGUGUGUGUCUGUGUGGAAGUAAUAAGGCUCUAGGGGACAGACUCACUAACCAAACCCUCUGGAGACUAAAUCAAAAAUCCAUAUGCAGAGUUAUUAAUUUUCAGUGGGAGAUAUAUCUAUACAGAGACCUGCAUGAGAGCUCACACCUGUUCUACUCAAGAGACAAAUUAUAGAUAAGAAGUAUCCUUGGUGUGCAGAGAGUCAGGGGAGGGAAAAUUGGGUGUGGCAAAAAGGAUAUUUACAGCAGCAGCCCUAUUUGGUGAUUCUCCACUUUCCUGGUAUUUAGGGGCUUCCAUUGCUUUACCAUUUGCUUUUAAUGUUGUCAUCCACUGAAAUCCCAUGAAGAGGAAGAAACCCUGCCCAUCCUUCCAGUCUGUCCAUUUUAGGAGCUGCUGCCUCUAUAAAGUCUUUCUGAGUCCUCACCAUAUUGCUUUUAUUCUUUGCUCCUUUAGCACACUUUUGGACUAUUAUUUUAGUUUUUAUUGUUGUAGCUGUAUAGCAAGAGAAAUAGGUUGCUUAUCUCUUACAUAGAUUGAAAGUUCCUGGAAGACAGAGAACACCUGAAUUUUUCUAGUACUAUUUUAUAAGGCCUUCUCUGACCACCCUAUCUAAAAAAAUAAAAUAUUUAGAAGCCUAUAUUAAGUUUACAUUCACUUCUGAUUUUUAUGGAAUUCUACACCAUGGCCCUGAAAAUAAGGUAUUUAGUCCUUUUUUUUUCUUUUACAUAUUUUUAUUAAUAUAUAGACUUAGCAACUAAUUUUGUCUUGGUGUUAUUGGAUCAUGUUUGGGACUCCAACCCAAGCUACAUUGUCUCUUGUUUUUUGUGAUUUACAUCUGGAUUGUUUUCUUAGAUUGGAAGCAUUUGAUAUUCUAUAUUUCUGAUUCUAAAGUAAUACCUGCCUAUUAUACAAAAUGUAUAAGUCUUUUCUUUUUUAACUUUAUUUCUUUAUGUGGUGCUGAGGAUUGAACCAACCCAGUACCUUAUACAUGCUAGGCAAACAUUCUACCACUAAACCACAACCCCAGACUCACAAAGGGUAGAAAUCAUUUUAACAAUAUUAUGAAGAAAGGGGGGGAAAAAAAAAAACUAGACCCUGUAGUCUCACAACCUAUUAGGAACUACUGUUUAUAUUUUGAUAUAUGAUCUAAUCUUAUUUCUGAAGUCCUUGGUGAAGGCUCCAUCCCAGGUGAUUCCAACAGACCAUGCUUUGCAACCCUUCCCAGUGUGACUGGUAAUCAAAAAAACAGCAGUGAUGAAAGGCAAGAAAAGAGUUUUUAAGCUGUGUGGCUACACCUGAGGUUUUAUAGAAAAAUGGAAGAAAGUCAAGUUUGGGGGGCUUGAAUGCCUGAGGCAUUUAUAUUGAUGGUAUAAUUGGUUGUUCUUGGUUAUUCUUGGUCUGAUUGAUCUUUCUCAUCAAUGCUUGAUGGGGUGAUUUGAUUUGCAUCCUGGGAUGAUUCCUCCUCUGGGGUGCAGUCUCAUUUUAGGGUGAUCUGUUCCUGGGAGGCUUGCUGUAGCUUGGGGAUGGUUUCUACUCCUCGUCUUAUAGGUGCUUAUCAACAAGACUAUAAUUCCUGGAAUCCAAGGUGUAACUGUAGAAGAAAGGGCCUCAGAAGGAAAAAAGUAUAAAAGGCAAAUGGAGUUAGAAAAGGACAAAAUGGAGUUGGUUAGGUCAGUGACUAGGUUCUCCUUCAAUCUUUUUUUUUUUUUUUUUAAAUUUUAGAAAAAGUAUAGUUGAAUUCAUACUGCAUUUCUUUUUUAAAGAGAGAGAUUUUUAAAAAUAUUUUUAUUUUUCGGUGGACACACAUCUUUAUUUUACUUAUUUUUUUAUGUGGUGCUGAGGAUUGAACCCAGCGCCCCGCGCAUGCCAGGCGAGCACCCUACUGCUUGAGCCACAUCCCCAGCCCCUCAUACUGCAUUUUUUAAUUUAGAGAUUUGCUUUUCAUUUAAUGUGGCAAUUAUUUUUAUUAUCAAAAACUUAGUUUAUGGUGAUUUUAACUUUCUUGGUGUUUUUCUCAAUUUUUCACAAAUAUUAUAUUGCUUUCAUUACUGAAAGUAAAACAAUAAAUGCUCUGUAAGAAUAUCUUAUGGCUUCAGGCAUGAUGGUGCACACCUGUAAUUCCAGCAACUUGGGAGGCUAAAGCAGGAGGAUCACAAAUUGGAGGCCAGUCUCAGUAAAUUGGUGAAAUCCUGUUUAAAAAAAAAAAAAAAAAACAUAAAAAAGAGGCUAGUGAUGUAAUUCAGUGGUAAAACGCCCCUGGGUUUAAUCCCCAGUACCGAAAAAUAUGUCUUAUGGCUGGGCAUAGUGGACACAGGAUUCUAAGGCGGGAUAAUGCUAGUCCCCAGAAAUUCAAGGCCAGCCCAUUGCAACGUACAACAUUCGAAAAAGCAAAAAACAAAGAUCUUAUGAAUGUAUUUUUUGGCUCAGUGAUUUAACUUUUUUUUUUUUUUUUUAAGAAUUUUAAUAUUUAUUUUUUAGUUUUCGGCAGACACAACAUCUUUGUUUGUAUGUAGUGCUGAGGAUCGAACCCGGGCCGCACGAUGCCAGGCGAGCGCGCUACAGCUUGAGCCACAUCCCAGCCCUGAUUUAACUUUCUCUUUCAUUAAAUAUUGAAGUUAUUUCAGAUUUUAGGCUUUAUUAAUAAGGUGAUGAUGAAUGUUUUUAUGAGUAACGUCUUUUUAUGAAUUAUUUCAUAGAAUUAUUUUUUAAGUUAUACCAGUUUAUAUCCUUACUAAUACUGUCAAUUUGUUUAAGGAAUGAGUCAUUUUAUCAGGGGCCUAUGUUCUGCUAGGCAUUUAACAGCUUUAUUUAUGUAAUCCCUAUAGACAUCUUUUGAGGUCCUUAUUGUCUCUAUUUAUAGGCAAAGGAGGUGAGGCUCAAAGAGUCUAAUGUAGCCAGGUCAUGGUGGCACAUAGCUGUAAUCCCAGCUGCUCAGGAGGCUGAGGCAGGAGGAUCACAAGUUCACAGCCAGCCUCAGCAAUUUAGUGAGGCCCUAGCCCUAACUUGGCAAGAUCCUGUUUCAAAAUAAAAAGGACUGGGGAUGUGGCUCAGUGCUUAAGCACCCCUGGAUUCAAUCCCCAGUACCAUAAAAAAAAAAAAAAGCUAAUGUAACUUACUUUAGGCUUAGGCUACACAGGUAAUGGAGGAGUUGAGAUGUAAAUCCAGAUCUUUAUGAUUCCACAGCCUCUAAAUCACUAUACAUGUUUGAAUUUUUAUUCAGAUUAUCACUAUACUAUACUUAGCUACUUUACUUUUAAUUUCUUUAGGCUGUUAGAAAAUAGGCAGGGGCAAAGAAGAGGGGUAAUUGGGAUAGUUUGGUAGAAAGUGCUCUUUACCAAAGGCACUCUAAAGAUAAUAUUAUUGAAAAUAAUAAUAUUCUAGACAUGUAUCAUUCCCCAUUUUUGUUGUCAAGAUAUCCCACAGAUUUUGAAAAUUAUUUGUAACAGUUCAUGCUUUUUUUUAGCUUUUUUUUUUUUUUUAAGAAAAUCGGAGAAGUUAGAAACCUCAAAAGUUCAUCUCCAUUGCCUUAUCCUCUGACAAUCAUUGCUAAUACUGUUGUUUUUAUCUCUUAAUUUCUCAAAUAUACUUUUCAUUCCUAUAGUUUUAUUUAGUCUCUUUCUUUCUUUCUUUGGUACCAGGGAUUGACUCAGGGACACUUAACAGCUGAGCCACAUCCCAGCCUUUUUUUUUUUUUUUGAGACAGGGUCUCUAUAAGCCUGCUAAAUUGCUGAGGCUGGCUUUAAACUUGAGAUCUCUUGCCUUAGCAUCUGAGCUGCUGUGAUUACAGGCCUGCAUCACCAUGCCUCACUAAUUUCAUCCUUUAAAAAAAAGUUAAUUGUAUAACUAAUAUAUAAUACACAGGUUAAAGAGGAAAAGAAAUAAGGCCUGAAAUACUGUUAACCAUCCCAUUCCAAUCCUCCUCUUCCCUAUAAUUUCCUCAACCCGGAUAGUCUGCAACUUGCUUUUUUCUCCAAGUAUCUUGAAAAUCUUUUUAUGUUAGUUUGUUAGACAAAUCAAUCAAUUGAUAUAUCUCUCCCUUUCCCUUCCCCCCCUUCCCUCCCCCGCCCCCCCCUCUUUUCAGCACUGGGGGUUGAACCCAGGGCCUCACACAUGUUAGGCAAGUGCUUUAUUACUCUGGCUCAAUAGAUGUAAUUUUUGAAAACUCUGUGUUAUUUAUUCCAUAGUAUUGGUUGUAUCUUUUUAUUCAUUCGUUUAAUUAUGAAUUGCUUUGUAAUUUCAUUUUGAUUUCCUAUUUAAACUGAGGGUUAAGAAGUUUAUUCCCCAGGUGGCAUUAUCUUCAUAAAAUAUUUUUUCCACAUAAUUUUAAAACCAUCAGUGAAACCAUCAGUGGCUCUUUCAAGCUCUAUAAUGGGCAUCAUAUACUCAGAGACAUCCAGUGACUUACAAAGAAUUGAGUGACAGACCAAAGGGUGUAGUGGGACUGACAGUUGGUAGAGAGUGUAGAAAUUGCCUAAAGAUGUUAAAAUGCACUUUAAAAACAAAACAGAAAAACACUGAUGACCAAAUAAGAAACUUUUACCAACAAGUUUCUCCUCCCCCGCCCCCCUUCCCCCCUUCCCCCACCAUACUGUGGAUUGAACCUGGGAUGAUCGACCACUGAGCUACAUCCCCAGCCCUUGUUAUUUUGUAUUUCAAGAUAGGGUCUUACUGAGUUGCCCAGACUGGCCUCGAAUUUGUGAUCCUCCUGCCUCAGCUUUCUGAGAGGGCCAACAAAUUUAAGUUUGUUAUCCAUUAAUGUACUACAGAGCCCUUUUACAGCUUACUUACUAGCCACCUUCCCUUUCUCCCAGAACACACUAUCUUUUAUGUUUCUCUGCCUUUGUCUGUGCUGGAAAAUUAUUCCCUCCUUCUCUGCUAGAAGAAUACAGCUUGUCCUUUAAGACUUGCUAUCAUACUCCUACAUCUUCUGUGAAACUGUUUGAGUUGCCCAAGACAGAUGUCAGUCUAGCCUAAUGGCAGUUUAGAUCUUUAUUACUGCUUUUUAUUACAUAGCUUUGUAAGAAUUUCUGUACCUCUCUUAACUCAUUUGGGGUGAGUCCUUCUUGGCAUAUGCUACCUUAUUUGCCUUGAUAUUCUUAGGCUUGGCAAGUGCACACAUGUAAGGGGCAUUCUGUUUUUAUUGAUUGAGUGAAUAAAUGAAUAAUCUUACUAACGGUAGUAAGAAUGACCUUGUGGAAAGCCAGAAUCCAAACUCAUGGCUACAUGACAAACAUGAAGUCCUAUAUUGCUCAGAUUACUAAUUCCAGAUUUUAUCAAAAAUAAAGGUAAUUUAUUUGAUUAAAAAAAAAAAAAAGGCUGGGAUGGGGCUCAGUUGUAGAGUACUUGCCUAGCAUGCUUGAGGCUUUGGGUUCCAUCCCAAGCAUAGGGGGAUAGGAGUAUAGGCACAGCUUUAUUUCAGUGUUGAUAAAAUUAAUAUAAAUCACAUACAGACCUUAAAGGGAAAUUUGAAAGCACGAGUUUUAAUACUAACUCACCUUAACUCAUGAAAUACUUCAUCUCUAAUCCUUGGGUUCUAUCGUAUGUAUAGUACUAUUUGCUACUUUUAUUCAGACUUGUAAAAAUCAUCUCAAACUGUGUUUGUCGUAUUGUAUUAUCCAUCUCCCUGGUCAUCUCUGGCUGAACAUUAUUUUAUAUCCUUUCUACUUGUCCCGUAUCCUAACCUUCUACCAUUUUGAGAGUCAAACUGUGUUCUAUUUGCUUUAAUUUAAAAUGUUUCUUUACCUUCUGUUUUCCAACUCCUUUUAUUUCUCUGAGAAGAAAAGUAUAAUACUAGAGAGCCAGAAAUCAGUCUUACUUACAUGUUUACAAGUAUCCAUGGUCCACAUUGUUCACAAAACAGAUUCUUAUCAUUAUCCUAGAGCAAUUGCUUGAUCCCAUAAUGUAUAGUACAUGGUUAUUGUCAGUUUUUAAUAAACCCUUAUUCCACAUCCUUUGUCCAGGCAGUUUGAGAUAAUUGCCUUCAAAUUAAGUGAAACAUUUCCUGAUGUUUUCAUCUGUCAUGAUAGAAUUCUGUGUUUAAGUUCUAUGUGGGUUUUUUUUGUUUGUUUGUUUGUUUUUGUUUUUGAGAAGGGUCUUGCUGAGUUGCUGAGGCUGACUUUGAACUUGCUAGCCUCCUACCUAAGCUGCCUGAGUUGCUGGCAUUAUAGAUGUGCACCACCAUACCUGGCUGGAAUUUUAUGACUCCUAUAUUGAUUUAAAAAAAAAAUGGUACUAGGAAUUGAACCCAGGAGUUCUUAACCACUGAGCCCUUGGAUUAUAGUUAUGUGCCGCUGUUCCCAGUUUAUUUUUUGAGACAGGGUGUCUCCAAGGUCCCAAGGCUGGACUUUUAUUUGCAUUCCUCCUGCCUCUUCCAUCUUCGGAGGGGCUGGGAUUAUAGGUACCUGCCACCUUACGUGGAUUCUAUGUUGAGUUUUAAAGUGGUUGAUAGAUUAGAACUCCAGAAUGACACCUACCUGUCAGUUACUAUAGAGCCUCAACCUCUGGUUUUCUGAGUGAUGCCUGAAAAAUAUCGUCCCUCAAGGUUAGAUCCAGCCUAGGCACUGAAUAGUCUAUGCUCCUUUGCGUGGCUUUUCAAGUUCUUUUCUUUUUAUGUUAGUUUGUUAGUUUGUUAGUUUCCAGCAGUUGCUACCUCCUGCCAUCAGUUUGUCUUCAUCUAGUCUCUGGUUCAAAAAUCCAAGUCAUUUUUAUUUUUUUUUAAUUUCAUUUAAUUUUAAAAUUAAUUAAUUAAUUAAUUUUUUGCACUGGGGGUUAAACCCAGGGGCACUUUACCACUAAUCUACAUCCUUAGACCUCUUAUUUUUUGAGACAGGGUCUCACUAAAUUGCUUAGGGCCUUGCUGAAUUUCUGAGGCUGGUCUAGAACUUCUGAUCCUCCUGUCUCAGCCUCCCCAGCCACUGGGAUUACAGGUGUGUGCCACCACGUCAUUUUUAAAUUCUCCCUUCUAUGUAGGCCAGCCACCAAGCUUUGUAAUAAGGCUCAUGGAUUCUUACAAACCUGAGUCACUUCCAUCUUUGUCUAUCCCCACUCUAGAUCACAUAAGAACACCUGCUCUGCCCUGCCCCACCCAGCCCACAAAUGCUUAACCUUUUAAUUGCAGUUGUGUUGGCUUCCACACUCACAAUUUUUUUAAAAAAAUAUUUUUUAUUUGUGCAUUAUAGUUAUAAAUAAUAUUGGGGUUUAUUUUGACAUGAUUAAUACAAGUAUGGAAUAUAAUUUGCUCCAUUCAGUCCCCAGUACCUCCUUUACUCUUCCUUCCUCACUCCCCUUGUUCCCUUUCCUCUAUACUACUUGUCUUUCUUCUAUUUAUUUAUAGUUUUUUUUAAUUAGUGCAUUAUAGAUAUAAAGCUGAAAUUUAUUGUGAUAUAUUCAUAUGUGUACAUAGCAUAGUUUUAUUACACUGAAUUGUUUUUGUUUUUAAAGAGAUGGGAUCUUGCUAUGUUGCCAAGCUCUUGGGCUCAAACAAUUUUUCUGCUUCAGACUCUUUCAUAUCUGGGGCCACAGGCUUGUGUCAUUGUAUCUAACUGUAGUCCCAGUUUUUAGUUUGUGUUGUUUGGUUUGUUUUGCAGUACUGGGGAUUGAGUCCGGGGGUGCUCUACCACAGAACUACAUCCCUUUUUUUUUUUUUUUUUUGGUACUGGGGAUUGUACCCAGGGGCGCGUAACUACGUAGCUGCAUUCCCAGCCCUUAUUUAUUUUUUUAUUUUUUAUUUUGACAAGAUCUAGCUAAAUUGCUGAGGCUGGCUUUAAACUUGUAAUCCUCCUUCCUCAGCCUCCUGAGCCCCUGAGAUUAUAGGCCUGUGUCACCAAGUCCAGCACCUUCCCUUUUUUGAGACAGUCUGGCUAAAUUUCCCAGGCUAACCUUGAAUUUGUGAUUCUCCUGCCUCCUGAGUAGCAGAGAUUACAGGCAUGUGUGAUUGUGCCCUAGCCCAUGGCCUCAGUUUUCAUCUCAGUAUUCAGGUAUUUUCCAUAUCAACUCCUAAUCUUUUAAAUUUUAUUUCCCCACCACAGUGCUAUGUAGUUCCUGGCUAUCCUAUAACUUUACCAAGGCUUUGGUUGGCCUCAGCCCCUUCCAGUCCCUCUGCAUACCUGAAAUGAUUUCUUUACCUCUGAAGCCCACCAUACUUUAUUUAUCUUAUGUCAUAUUAUUGCCCCCAAAGAGCUUUAUAGUUGACUAAAGUGCAUUUGAAUCUGUUUUAUUUAAUUUUCACAACAGUCUAUUAGGUAAGUAAGACAGUGUCUUAUCACAAGUGAGGAAAACUGAGCCAAGAUAUGAUGAGGGAAUAGUAAGUUGCCCAAGUUUUGCAGUUAGUAAAGCAUGGCACUAAGACUCAUCCAUGUCUCCUGUGCAUAAGCCCUAAGCUUUAUAUAAUAUACUUCUACUACCUUUCUGAGUGUCUGAAUCUGAAUGUGCACGUAAAUAUAAGUUUGAAUAUUUCUCUCUUUCCAAUUGACUGUUAGCUAUUUGAAGGUAGGUACUAUGCCUUAUUCCCCUAGAAUAUAUAUGUGUAUAUACGAGUGAGCAUGUUCAUGUCCAGUUCAAUGUUCUCUUUCUCUGUAAAAAUCAGCCUUCCCCUGAGUCGUGCUUCCCCAUUAUUUUUUUUUAAGUAGAUAGGAAACUUACUUUGCAUACAAUAAAUAAUAAAAUUACUAUUUUAUAUAAUGAAUUUAACUUUUGAUCUUUUCAUUAAUAUACUUCAAUUUACAAGGUAUCUGAAGAAAUUGAUUAAAAGCUAGGCUACUGAGCUAUCAUUCUACAUUUUCAAGUAUUAUAAAUAUCAUGAAUUUCUCAUAACUUUAUAAUUUUUAUGUUAGUUGCAUGAGAACAUACCACAAAAGCUAUUAUGAGGGCUGAAGAUACAGCUCAGUUGGUAGAGUGCUUGCCUCACAUGCACAAGGCCCUGGGUUCAAUCCCCAGCACCACAUACACACACAAAAAGCUAUUAUGAAUAGAGUAAAAUAAAUUCCAUUUUUUAUUAUGGGGAAGUACACAAUAUUUUCAUAACCAUUUUAAUGGAUUUAAAUUUUAUUAUAUCACAUUUAUUUAUUUAUUUAUUUAUUUUUGUGCUGGAAAUUGAACUCAGGGGCACUUGACCACUCAGCCACAUCCCCAGCCUAUUUUGUAUUUUAUUCUUUUAUUUAAAGACAGGGUCUCACUGAGCUGCUUAGCACCUCACUUUUGCUGAGGCUGGCUUUGAAAGCGGGAUCCUCCUGCGUCCACCUCCUGAGCCUCUGGGAUCACAGGCAUGCGCCACCACACCUGGCUGUCUACAUAUAUUUUAAAUGGAGGACUGAGGCUAUAUAGCUCAUUGGUGAGCACUUGCCUAUUAUGUGUGAGGCCCUGGGUUUGAUCCCCAGCAUUGAAAGCAAAAGAAAAAAAACGUUGGUUGAAUUUUUGCCCGCUGUGGUUGUAUAUUCCUUAGCCAGCCAGGAGAUUAGGGCAGGUGGAUCACGAGUUCCACUCUAGCCUGGGCAAUGAAUUUAGUUGCAAUGAAAAGGGGAGGAGGGUUGGGGAUGUAUCUCUGUGGUUGAGAGCCCCUGAGUUGAAUCUCCAUUGCUGUCCUUGUUUUUGUUUUUGUUUCCAGUACUGGGGAUUGAACCCAAGAGCACUUUAACAUCAAACUACAUACCCAGUCUGUUUUAUUUUUUAUUUUGAGAUACAAUCUCAAUAAGUUGCUGAGACUGGCCUGAAACUUGUGAUCUUUCAGCCUCAGAUUCCUGAAUUGCUGGGAUUGCAGAUGUGUUUGUGUAUACCACUGCUUCCACAACCAGCAAAAAAAAAAGGAAAGAAAAAGAGAAAAAUGAAAGCUGCUAAUACAUACACAUACAAGACCUCUAGUAUUCCAUCUACAGGAAAUGCUUGGUGCUCCUAAUACUUGCAGAUCCUCUUUGGUAACUCUAAGUUGCCAGUUGGGAUCCAUAUUUGCAGGGAUUCUGAUAUUAUUCUGAAUUACUCAGUGUUACCAUAGGAAAUUUCAUGUGAGAAAUUUCUUACAGAGCCAAGUAGUUGAAAUAGCUUUGCUCCCCUGAAUAAUUGCUUUUUGAAUGAUUUCUUUUUGAAUAACUUGGCUUGCAACUGAGCUUGUCUCCUUUUUCACAUUGGUAUUUGGGAAGUUCAGAACCAAAUAUGUCACUCAGUUGUAGCAAUUGUAUUGAUCUUUUCUGCAUGAUAAAGUUUUUCCACUUUGAUAGUGACUUUCCAUUGUCAUUUUCUUGGCUGUGAUUUUUAAAUUUAUCUUUCAUCAUUUUAGUGCAUGUAUUUCCCAAAAGCCAUCUAAAAUUCUUUAAAGGUGAAUCAGGAGAUAAAUAAAUCUCUAGCCCUUCAUUUGUGACCAUGUUUGGCACUGGACAUAUCUAUUUUAUAUAGUGAUGCCAACAUGUGUAUGUCUUGAUCUUCAUACUGUGUUUAAUUACAUUCAGAAGUGAUUAGAAAAAUGUAGUCUCAGGCUGGAGUUGUGGCUCAGAGGUAGAGCACUUGCCUAGCAUGCUUUUAAGGUACUGGGUUCGAUCCUCAGCACCACAUAAAAUAAAAUAAAGAUAUUGUGUCCACCUAUAACUAAAAAAUAAAUAUUAAAAAAAGAAAAAUGUACUUUCAUUUGCUACAAAUCACUUCCAAGAACUCUUCACAGUAUCAAUUAAACAUAUCUUGAGAAGUAGAGUAUACAUCUAUUUAGGAAGGAAGCAAAACAUUGUGACUACAGCACGCCUUGGCUAGCAUUUAGAGAUUAUUGCUGGCAGUAACAAUUAAUAAAUCCACAGGUGGGUGUGGGAAGACAACUUCUUUUUCUUUCAUUGCCUAUCCUUUUGAAAUUUGUACCAUAUACAUAUGUCACCUAUUCAAAAAACUAAUAAAAUAAUUUCUCAGUCAUCUUUAGUAGAAGUACUAAAAAGUUCUCUUUCUAUUAGACUAUGAGCACUUAAAAAUGGGAGUUCAUAACCCACUUGAAUCUAAUGUAUGAAAUAUGAUAUGUCAGGAGCUUUGUAAUGUUUUGAACAACCAAUAAAAUAUAUAUAAAUAAAUAAAUAAAUAAAUAAAAUAGACUAUGAGCACUUGGAGACUAGGAAGUGUAUGAGAUUCAUCUCAUCAUUCCUGAACCUAGCACAGUAGUUUACACAUAGUAAGCCCCCAGCUUAUGUGUGUAGAUAUGAAUUGGUAAAUGAAAAUUGCAAGUUUCAGUAGGGACAUGACCAGAAAUUACUAAAGAAUUGUGUGUAUAACUCAUGCCCCUUUUAACUCUGUACAUCUGUUUUAGAAUGAGGCUGAAACCAGCUUCCUGGCUUUGAAGUAACAUCUUUUUUUUUUUUUUUGGUGCUAUGGAUUGAACUCAGGAACACCUGACCACUGAGCAACAUCCCCAUCCCUUUUUGUAUUAUAUUUAGAGACAGGGUCUCACCAAGUUCCUUUUGCUAAGGCUGGCUUUGAACCUGCGAUUUUCCUGCUUCAGCCUCCCAAGCUGCUAGGAUUACAGGCGUGCACCACCACACCCUGCUGUAACAUAAUUUUUAUUGGUGCCCUUUAAAAUAACUUUAAAAAGUUAUUUUUCCCAGUCACUUGUUCAAAGUUGUUUUGUUUAUGUGUUACAGUAUGGGAUUUCAUCAAAUGUAUCUUCCAAGCUACUUUUUAUUUUUUCUUGCAGAUCUUUGUAGAAUUUGAUGGCUGUAACUGGAAGCAACACUCCUGGGUUAAAGUUCAUGCUGAAGAAGUUAUUGUGCUUUUGCUGGAAGGGUCACUUGUAUGGGCACCCCGGAAUGACCCAGUCCUUUUGCAGGGCACUCGAGUCUCAAUUGCACAGUGGCCAGCCCUGGUGAGUAGUUUUUAUUAUUUUUUUUUAUUUGGUCCUAGGGCUUAAUUCCAGAGUCUAACUCAUGCUAGCCAAGAUCUCUACUAAUGAGCCAUACCUGUAGCCCCCAAAUCCUGCCACCUACUACCUCAGGUCUGCCAGGGUACUUGUUAGGCAAGUGAUUUCACUGAGCUGUAUAUACCCUUGGUCCCUGAGUGGCCCCUAUUGGGUAGGAACAUAUUUGAGCUUUCCUAACAUAACUAUAGUGUUUGCCCAGUAGUGGAACUCUUUAGAAUUCACAAAACCCUACCUUAAAGUUAUGAAAGUAAAAAUUAAGAGAGAGCUUUUCUCUUCUGUGUUCUCCAAAACACUCUGAUAAUAUUUGAUACUGUUUAUCUCUAAAUAAUUUUUUCACUUUUAGUCUUUUCUCAUAGCAAGAUUUGAAAUAGUGUAAUCCUCAAAAGUGUUUUGUAAUUAAGUUUUGUUUUUUGAAAUGAAAUGAAAUAGUAUUAUAAAAUUCUGAGAGUAUCCAUUUGUUUUUAUCUAUCCUGUUAGAUAAAUGGCAAUUUUUAAAAAAUCCUAAUUCUCCUGUGGCUAAUCAAAUUAAAUAAAUAAUAUUCAAAGCAAAUAUUAUUUGACCUAUUGAUUAUACAUAUUAUUCCUUGCUAAAUUGUCUUUUUCUUUUGUAUGUGUCAGGGGGUGCUGGGUAUUAAACCCAGGGCCUAGCACAUGCUAGGCAAAUGUUGUACCACUGAACACAUCCCUAGCUUUUUCUUUUUUAUGUUUUUAUUAGUGCAUUAUAGUUAUACAUAAUAUUGGGAUUUAUUUUGACAUGAUCAUACAUACAUGGAAUAUAAUUAUCUUUAUUUCAGUCCUUGGUACUUCCCUUUUCCCUCUCUUCUCCUUCCCCUCAUUCCGCCUUCCUUUUUCUAUUGGUCUUCCUUCUAUUUACUUAUUGGUUUAUUUUGUUGGGUUUUUUUUUUUUGGUUUGUUUGUUUUUGUUUUAAUACUGGGGAUUGAACCCAGGGCACCUAACCACUAAGCUACAUCCCCAGCCCUUUUUAUUUUUUAUUUUGAGACAGGGUUUUGCUAAGUUGCUGAGGCUGGCCUGAAAUUUGUUAUCCUCCUGUCACUGGGAUUACAGACGUGUACCCUCAUACCUGUUUUUGUUUCUUUGGUACUGGGGAUUGAACCCAGAGGUACUUUAUCACUGAGUCACAUCCCCAGCCCUUUUUUAUAUUUUAUUUUUAGACAGGGUUUCACUAAGUUGCUUAGGGACUUGCUGAGUUGCUGAGUUUCAUUUUUUGCCACUUUGCCUGGAUUAUUGUGUUUUUAAAUUGGUGCUUAAUAGGUAUUCAUAAAGGGAGAAUUCACAUGGAGUAUUUAUAUAUGUACAUAGCAUAAUUUGGCCAAUUUCAUUCCUCAUUUCCUCCUUUUUCCUGUCCCUCUUCCUUUCCUCUCAACCUCCUUCUGUUCCAUUGAUCUUCCUUCUGUUUUCAUGGAGUUCCCCCCACCCUCCACCUUUUCUUCCCUUAUUUUGCCCUAGCAUUCUCAUAUGAGAGAAAAUAUUUUGACCCAUGGCUUUCUGAGUCUGGCUUAUUUCUUUAUGGCUGAGUAAAAUUCUAUUAUGUACAUAUACCACAUUUUCUUUAUCUAUUCAUCUGUUGGUGGACACCCAGCUGGUUCCAUAACUUGGCUAUUGUGAAUUGUGUUGAUAUAAACAUUAAUAUGCCUGUAUUGCUAUAGUAUGCUGAUUUUAGUUCUUUUGGAUAAAUACCAAGGAGUGGAAUAGAGUGGGUUAUAUGAUGGGUCCAUUCCUAGUCUUUUGAGGAGUCUCCAUACUGCUUUACAAAGUGGUUGUACUAGUUGGCAGUUUGCAGUCCCACUAAGAAUGUAUGCAUUUCCCCAUAUCCUUGCCAGCACUUUUUCAUUUGUUGUUAUUUUUGCAGUACUGCAGAUUGACUGUUUUGUUUUUGUUUUGCCGUGUUGGGGUUUGAACCCAGAGCUUCACACAUACUAGGCAAGCACUCUACUACUGAGCCAUGUCCCCAGCUCUUUUCAUUAUUUAUUUUUUGGUACCAGGGAUUGAACCCAGGAGCACUUAGCCACUGAGCUACAUCCCCAGGCCUUUUUUUUUUUUUUUAAUUUUGACACAGGGUCUCACUAAGUUGAGAGGCUACUCUUAAACUUGCAGCCUUCCUGCCUCAGCCUCCUAAAUCACUGGGAUUAUAGGCAUGUGCCACCAUACCCGGCCUUUUCAGGUAUGGUGAAAAUACCUGUUUUGUUUUUGUUUUUUGGUACUGGGGAUUGAACUAAGGGGCACUCAACCACUGAGCUACAUCCCCAGCACUAUUUUGUAUUUUAAUAUUUAUUUUUUAGUUGUAGUUGGACACAAUAUCUUUAUUUUAUUUAUUUUUAUGUGGUGCCGAGGAUUAAACCCAGUGCCUCAUGCAUGUAUGUAUGUGAGGCAAGUGCUCUACCACUGAGCUACAACCCCAGCCCUGGUAUUCUGGGCAUUUACUGAAAUUUAGUCCUCUUGAAGGCUGAUAAGAUUAGUCAGAUCCCUAAGGAAAAUGAGGAAUUUUUAAUCUCAAUUGUCCUUUUUAGCCAUAAAUAAAAGUAUUUUUUAAAUUUUUAUUUUUAUAUGGCAGUGGAAUGCAUUACAAUUCUUAUUACACAUAUAGAGCGCAAUUUUUCAUAUCUCUGGUUGUACACAAAGUAUAUCCACACCAAUUUGUGUCUUCAUACAUGUACUUUGGAUAAUAAUGAUCAUAAUAGAAGAGUAUUGAGCAAAGUUUUCUACGUUAGUUUGCUUCCUAGGGACAGAUGCUAGGCUAGAAAUGUUUCCAAGGACUUAAACUUUAGUUUAUCUGUAUUUACUAGUGUGAAAAUAUAAAAAUAAUAUAAUAAUGAAUACUUUUUCUGAAGUAGGGAUUUAUUGAAUUGUUAUUGGUUUUCAUUUCCAAGUUCUAAUCAGUUUCUUGUCAUUAUGCUUCACAGACUUUCACUCCCCUAGUAGAUAAACUGGGUUUGGGUUCUGUGGUGCCAGUUGAAUACCUUCUGGAUCGAGAACUUCGUUUCCUGUCAGAUGCUAAUGGGUUGCAUCUGUUCCAGGUACUUUACACUUAACUCUGGUCUUGAGCCUAUUAUUUUUCUCCUUGCUAAUUUCUUUGUUGAUACAAAUACUGGUGUUUCCCUUUUUCUUAGUGUUUCUUUGAUUUCCUUCAAUAAAUUCCCCUGUGCCUUUUAAAGUUUCUCUGCUUCCUUGCAAAGUACUGAGGCUUCUUUCCUUUUCUGUAUAACCCUGCUCCACACUAAAGCCAUUGAAGACUUAAGACCACAAUUCUGAGGGUCCCUUCAGAAGAGGUGGCUUCAUUGAGUUGGUUGCUUCUGUAGUAUGAGUCCUAGGGGCCCUAUGCAUACCUUAGUGGCAUGGAAGUGGGGAGGAAUGUGGAGUGGUUCCAUGCAGUGUGAAGUUUUGAAGAGCUUUUGGUAUAUCUUUAGUUUAAAAAAAAAAUGGGAUAAGUUAAAUAGUUGAAACAAACUAGCUUCUGAGUUUGGGUUUCAGAAUUUAACAAAGUACUGUUUAAUUCUCACUUGUAAGGGUUACUAUCUGAAGGUUAAAAUCUGAGAGACUUCUAAGAGUUUUAUUCUUAUCAAGAAAGCCAAGAACAGUGUUUCCUAAACUGUUUUAUGUAUAUUAAUGUAUAUUUCUUUUUGUUAUAUAGUCCUCAUGAGACCUCACUCUCAACAGUCUUGCUUUAUUCAUCUUUAUAAUCCCAGAGUUUAUAUGAGAAUGGCAUUCAGGAAAUGUUGGAUAAACACCAAAAUAAGCAAAAAGGUUUAUAUGGAGUAAAAUGUUUUGUGGUCAAAUAAGUAUGUGAAACCCUGACUUAAAUAUAUUUCUUUUCUCUAUGAUUUCUCUGAACCUUGAGUAUGAUGUCGUAUACAGAAACAUAUAUAAAUUUAGGCUUAGGAAAUAUCAUGUUCUGCAUGUAGAAAGAUAUAAUAUGUAAUAUUUUCUAAGCCUCAUUUAUACUAGCAUUUUUAAUUCUUGCAGAGAUUCUCAUGAGACUAGAAUUCUUAAGGCAUUUUUAGCAAGUGUUGAUAUAGAACUCCUUGGUAUGUGAUUUUUCUCAUUUAAUUAGAUGUUAUUGCUAUUUAUUUUAACAUUCAGUUGUUUUAUCUUUACCAGAUGGGAACCGAUAGCCAAAACCAGAUUCUUUUAGAACAUACUGCUCUGAGAGAAACAGUUAAUGCUUUGAUCAGUGACCAAAAGCUACAAGAGAUAUUCAGCCGAGGUAAGAACAGGUAGUCUUCUGUCCCUGAACUCUGAAUCAGGUGAAUUGUCAGUUUUGAAUGAUAUAAUGGGACAUCAUGUAGCUUUAAACAUUUGUCCUCAUCCUCUUUUUGUGAGUAGAGACGAAAGUAUCUCCGAUUAGCUAAAUCUCCAAAUAAACUAGAAAAAUAGGAUCUCUCCAAGACCAUUGUUUUCUCUCUCUCUCUUUUUUUUUUUUUUUAAUAUUUUUUUUAUUUGUUGAUGGACCUUUAUUUUAUUUUAUUUUUUGUGGUGCUGGAAAUCAAACCCAGUGCCCUGCAUGUACGAGGCAAGCGCUCCACUGCUAAUCUACAACUCCAGCCCCCCAUUGUUUUCUCUUCAUUGUACUUUUCAUAAACCAUAGUUUUGUUGUAAGCUUAGUUUUUUUUCCCCAUUUUUAAAAUAUUUAUUAAGGACACUAGAAAUAUUUAUUUAAAAACAUGCACUAGAAACAAUGUUAAGGCACUAAUGAUCUAGCCAGUAGCUAGAAAAUCUUUACCUAUUUUUUUUUUUUUUUAAUACACCCAAGGGCGCUUAACCACUGAGCCACAUCCCUAGCCCUUUUUUUUAAUUAUUUUUUAUUUUGAGACAGACUCACUAAGUUGUUUAGGGCCUUGCAAUCCUCCUGACUCAGCCUCCUGAGUUGCUGAAAUUACACACAUGUGCCAUUGUGCCUAGAGCUGACUCUGCUUUUUUUGAAUUUACUAUCUGCAGGUUUCUAAAAAAUCUAGGACUAGCUGGGUGUAGUGGCUUACACCACUAAUUUGGGCAACUUGGACAGCUGAGGCAGGAUUGCAAGUUCCAGGCCUAUCUCAGCAAUUUAGUGAAACCCUCAGUAACCUAGUGAGAUUCUGUCGCAAAAUAAAAAAUAGAAAGGUCUGGGGAUGUAGCUCAGAAAUGAAGCACUCCUGCGUUCAAUCCUCAUUACCAAAAAGAAAAAGCUAAAGACUCUUAACACCAACAUAUAACUUAGAGUGCAAAGUAUGUUCAUAAAACAAUGCAUCCACAGACUUAUUCACAUGAAUAGUAUGCUUUAAGUAUAAAUAAAUGAACAUAGGGUGUAGCUCAGUGGUAGAGUGCUUUUGCCCAACAUGCCAUAGCCCCUGGGUUUGAUCCUUAGUAACAAACAAACAAACAAAAACAGAAAGAAGAAUUAUUAGUUUUCAAGUUCAGAUACCGGUUUUGCCUCAAGAGUCUAUACGAAGAGUAAACUACUUCAUUUAUCCUUCCUUUCAUGUCAUGCAUUCACUCACCUUCAUUUCUGGGCCUUAUGAUAAUCAUUAUUUUUAGUGAAGUAGUGUCCUUGGUUCUAUUUUUGUCAAAUAAAUCUAAACAGGUGAAGUUAAGAAUACUGACCUAAUGGAGAAAAAAAGAUAUCAGGAUAAAAUGAUGUUUAAUAAACAAGGAAUGAUAUAGAGGAAGAAAGAAUGUGAGGAAAAAUUAGUAACAGAAGAAAAUUGAGUGGACAAAAUGAGAGGUGGUGAUAUGUGAGUAUAUACAGAGAAAUUAAGGAAACUUAAUUAUAGCUCUAAGAAAAUAAUCUAAAAUUAGUAAUGCUUUAGCUAUAUAGUCUCAAAUGUACAAUGAUAUGUGGGAGAGAGAAACUGUCCUUGGAAAGACCAGCUGAAAUUGCAGGGUAACAUUACCUGCUGAUAAAGUAAUAUUUUUGAAACUCUGUGUUCCUAGGAAGACAGGUGCUAUAUUUGUUCAGACUAUUAUUAGUGCAGAGGCUAGAAACCUCAUAAAUUGAACUCUCAGCUGUUAUUGAAAGUCAGAUAGCAGAAUGUUAAUGAUUAUGUAUCAUUCCUGUGGUGGUUUAUCCUAAUAGCACAUCCAAUGGGACUGGGGGUUUAGCUUAGUGGCAGACAUGUACAAGGCUCUGGGUUUGAUCCUCUGCAGCACAAAUAAAAAAGAAAAAGAGUACAUUCAACUUAGUGGUCUCCUACUUUUUUCAUACACAUGUCAGGUAUAUGAGUAAAUUUCCAUAUUACUUGUUGUUGUUGUUGUUGUUUUAAUUUGUAAGUUUCUUUCCCUUUGAAUAUUACAAUUAUUAAAUUGUUGAAUAUAGGGGCUAGGGAUGUUGCUCAAUAUCAGAGUGCUUCCCUGGGAUGUAUGAGGACAAGGGUUCUAUCCCAACAUCUCAAAAAGACUCAAUGCUGAGUGUGGUAAAUCUAGAAUUGCUACUUUGUUAGCUCUGUCAAGGGGCAGAUAUUUGAAAGUGCCAAGUAUUUCCAUCAUGUAGUUUUCCUUUUGCUUUCAGAAACAGUUAUGAAACAUAACUUAGCCAAAAAUACAGUUUUGACUGAUCUCUUUUUUAGGUCCCUACAGUGUUCAAGGUCACAGGGUCAAAGUGUACCAGCCAGAGGGGGAAGAAGGGUGGAUCUAUGGUGUCGUAAGUCAUCAGGACUCCAUCACCCGUCUUAUGGAUGUGUCUAUAACUGAGGUGAGGCUGUGUUAAUUCCAUCUAAAUUCUAUCAGUCCCCUUACAGAGCAUGGUGUAAAGAAUGUGAAUACUUUAUCCCUGGCUCUUAUCAUUUAAUGAUUGUAUAACCCUUAGAAGGGGUGUGCAACUUUAUCAUCCCACUGUUCUCAUCUUUAAGUUAGAAGUAAUUGUGUAAAACCCCACUUACCUCACAAUACUGUUUUGAAGACUGAAAUAAUAUAUUUAAAAGUGCUUUGAAAUCUGUAAAACAAUAUGCAGUUGUAAGGUGGUAAUAUUUAUCAUAUUCAUAACAGUUUGUAUUAAAGACCAAUUAGUUAGCAUUGGCUUCUGUAUUACUUUUGCCACUAUAUCCUAGAUGCUGAAAAAAAUUGCUUUUAAUGAACAGAAAAGAACCUAACACCUAAGAGAUACCUGGAGAAUUAUUUAGGAGAAACAGUAGAUGAGUGUUUCUUUUUUUUUUAAUUUAUUUUUUUGGUUGUAGUUGUUAUUUAUUUCUUUCUUUAAUUUUUUUAAAAGUUAAAUAAAUCUUCAUUUAAAAAUUUCAAAAAACAUACAUACAUAAACUAGAUAAUGAAAGCCAACCUUUCCCCUAUGUAAAUGUCACUCAGUGGCAACCACCAUUAACAGUUUGGUAUAUAUUCCAUAUUCUUUUUAUUUUUUGUUUAUUUAUUUUUAGUAUUUAUUUUUAUGUGGUGCUGAGGAUGGUACCCAGUGCCUCACACAUGCUAGACAAGUGCUCUCCCAUUAAGCUAUAUUCCAUAUUCUUCCAAAUAUUUUCUAUAUAUGUAUUUCUGUAGGUUAUAUAGUGUAUCUUAUUUACUUAAUUGUAUAUAACCUCCAUUUUUUUUUUCUUUUUUUUUUUUUUCCUGAUACUGGGGACUGAACCCAGGGGCACUUUACCGCUGAGCUACAUCUCCAGCGUUUUUCUUUUUUGUUGUUGUUGUUUUUUUUUUGUUACUUUGAGAUAGUGUCUUGCUAAAUUGCCAAGGUUGGCCUCAAACUUGCAAUCCUCCUGCCUCAGUCUCCUAAGUUGUUUGGAUUACAAAUAUGUGCCACUAUACUUGGUUUAUAACAAGCAUUUUUAAUCUUUAUUUGUGAAUAUAGAGAUGUGAAUUUUUUUUUUUUUUUUUUUUUUUCUCCUUUAUGGUACUGGGGAUUGACAAUACCCCAGCAGUUCUUUUCACUGAGCUACAUUCUGGGCCUUUUUAAAUUUUUAUCUUGAGACAUGAUCUCGCUAAGUUGCUGAGGCUGGCCUUGAACUUGGAAUUCUUCUGCCUUAGUCUCUCAAUUUGCUGGAAUUAGAGACAUGUGCCACUGUGCCCAGCUGACUUAUUCCUUUAAAAUAGAUGUGUGCUAUUCCAAAAAAUGAAUAUAUCAUAGCUAGUUUAAUCUAAAAUUGAAGGACAUUUAAAUCUUUGCCAGUAUUUUCACUAAUACAGAUGAUGACACAGUGAACAUACUUGAACAUCCUUUCACAUUUAUGAUUUAUUGGAAUAAAUUCCUUGGUUUGUAAUUGCUAAGUUAAAAGAUAUACAUAGUAAAAAAAAAUUUUGUGUGUGUGUUGUUGUACUGGGAAUUGAACUCAGGACCUCAUACAUGCUAGGCAAGUGCUCUACAACUGAGCUAUAUCCCCAGCCCUACACAGUAAAUUUGAUGUUUUAUGUCAAAGUACUCCCUCUCCUAAAGUUUGUAUUCUUUAGUAGUAAAGUAGGUUUGUUUGUUUUGGGUGUUUUUUAUUGUUUUGGUUUUUGUGGGUUUGGGGUUUUUUGUUUUGUUUUGUUUUGUUGGUGGUACUGGGAAUUAAUCCCAGGGUCUCAAAUAUGCUCUAUCACUGAGCUACAUCCCCAGCCCUAUAUAAUGAUUUUUGUAAUGAUUGUUGUUGGUUCUGAAGAUUUUUGAUUUCAUAAUAUACUGAAUAGGAAUGUUUUUGAUAUGGAAUAUUUCAAAUUAAAAUCCCUAAAAGACAUACUUGAGCAUUAAACUCAAUUGUUCCUUUUAUUCAUGAACUUAACAAAUAUAUUAAUGCUCACCAUAUUCCACACCGUGUUUCAGAUAUCCUUACUAUAGCAGUGAUUGAGACAGUAAAUAUCCCUUCUCUCAUGGAGCUUUCUUCUAAUAAGGGAAUAGAAGCAAUAAAGAGAUACUUACAUAGAUUAGGAAAAUGUUAAGUCUUGGUGAAUAAAGCAUUAAAUAAUCUCUCUCCCCCACCCUUUUCCCAUAUGUUCUGCUAUCCUGCUGCUACCAUAGAGUGGUGAGAUCAAGUCAGUAGAUCCCAGACUCAUCCAUGUGAUGCUGAUGGAUAACACAACGCCUCAAAAUGAGGUACAGUAAACAACUGAGUCUCUGAGAAGACUCAUGAGCUUGCAUUUUCUUGUUAUGUGGUUUCCUUUUACAUGGGUGCUGCUUGGGUUGUUCAGAUGGACUGUCUUGGUAAGGGUGGAUGGUGUCAAGAAAGAGACCUAGUUUGAGUAAACCCUUUCAAUUUGACUUGUUCUAUAGUUGUUAUAAAGUCUUAAGUCCUAACUUUCUUUUAUAUUUUCUUAAGUAUAUUUGAAAGAGGUAGUAGUUAAAACUGCAAUAAAUGGUAGUAAUAAUCAUGACCUUACCAGUAACUAGAUAUGGAAGAAAAGCUACAUCCUCUUUUUUCCUAUUAGGUGGCACUGAGCUCCAACAGAGUCUUUUUUACUUUUUAUCUUGAGACAGGAUCUCGCUAAGUUGCUGAGGCUGGCCUUGAACUUAGCAUUCUUCUGCCUUAGUCUCUCAACUUGCUGGAAUUAGAGGCAUGUGCCACAAUAGAUGUAUGCUAUUCCAAAAGAUGAAUAUAUCAUAACUAAUUUAAUCUAAAAUUGGAGGACAUUUAAAUCAUUGCCAGUAUUUUCACUAAUACAAAUGACAACACAAUGAACAUACUUGAACAUCCUUUCACAUUUAUUGUUUAUUGGAAUUAAUUCCUUGGUUUGCAAUUGCUAAGUUAAUAGAUAUACAUAGUAAAAAAAAAUUUUUUGUGUGAGUUAUUGUACUGGAGAUUGAACUCAGGACCUCAUACAUGCUCAUAUAUUCCCAAGUAGAAUCAAAUGAACAGGUGCCUAGUUCAGUGCUUAGCACACAGUGGAUUAUUCUAUAAUUAUAGACUAAGCCAACACUUGGUUCAUUUAGAAUUAUUAUAGCCAAAAAUAAAUAAAUAAGCGCAUUAUAAAUCUUUACCUGAACCAAUAAGGAAUCCUGUGUGAGUAUCCUUCAGUAAAUCAACUGUCCACACAUGCCUCAUAGUAUCUUAUCACCUCUAUAAAUAUUGCUUUCUUGCUGAGUAUAUAGUCCUUCAUCAUCUUUUUUAUUAGUUAUUCUUGAUUUAAAAAAAAAAAAGAUCAGACUAAGAAAGGAAGAAUCAGUAUUAAAUUUAAUAGCUUUUUAUUUAUGUAUUAUAUUAAUCAGGAAUAGGUUAAGUCCCUUGACUAUGUUUACAUGGCUGAAAAACCUGUUACUUUGAUGUUGCAUUGGGCUCUAUUUUUAGUCCAUUAUUUCACUCAUUCAUUAAGCACCUAUUGUAUGCCAAAUAGUAUACAGCUAGCCCAGUAUAACUGAAAAGUACUAUACUCAGUGUCCUAGGUUACUUUCUUGCAUGUGAGUAGUUCAUUAUAAGUUAUUUUGGGAAUGGUUGCUGUGAGCCAGGUUCUUCAAGUUGACUGCAUGAGUUAGAAGUGGAAGUGUGGUUGUUAGCAGUAAAUUUUGAUUUUUCCUUUUUGGCUUUGCCAUGAUGUGACAUCUUCUUUUGUUUGUUUUUUCCCCAGUAUCAGGGAUUGAACCCAGGGGCACUUAACCACUGAGCCACAUCCGCAGUCCUUUUUCGUGUUUUAUUUAGAGACAGGGUCUCACUGAGUUGCUUAGGGCCUAACUAAGUUACUUAGGCUGGCUUUGAACUUGGAAUCCUUCUGCCUCAGCCUCCUGAGCUGCAUGCUCAGGUAUGCGCCACUGUGCCCAACUUGACUUUUAUUCUUGGCUAGCCAAAUUCAAUUACAGUUUGCCAGGUUUUCCAGUAACCCUUCUUAGAGAUCUGUGAUUGCCUCAUCUCCUUUAACAGUGAGUAUAAGAGAAUAAGCAAGAAAGAAAAGAAAGAUUUCAGCUAAGCUCAGUGGCACAUGCCUAUAAUCUCAGAUUUGAGAGGCUGAGGCAAGAGAAUCACAGGUUUGAGACCAGCUUCAGGAUUUUAGUGAAACUCUUAUCAAAACAUAAGUAGGGCUAGGGAUGUAACUCAGAGGUAAAGUGUCCUGGGUUCAAGUCCCAUUACCAGAAAUAAAAUAAAGGACAAAAAAUGCCCAUCCUCAAGUUUACCCUUUUUAUUUAUUUAUUUGGUACCAGGGAUUGAGCCCAGAGGCAUUUAACUAUUGAGUCACAUCCCCAGCUCUUUUUUAUAUUUUAUUUAGAGACAGGGUCUUACUGAGUUGCUUAGGGCCUUGCUAAAAUCGCUGAGGCUGGCUUGAAAUAACAAUUCUCUGCCUCAGCCACCUGUACUUUACCCUGUAAUUUAAGAAGAAAGUAAAAAUAAAAAACUGAUGGUAAUCCAGGUUGAAGAAAAGAUAAAGUUUUAAAAGAGAAUGGAUGAAUUUAAGCUGGGCAUGGUAGUGCAUGCCUGUAAUCUCAGCUACUUGGGAGGAUGAGGCAGGAGGAUUAAGAGUUCUAGCCCAAUUUGGGCAACAUAGCAAGAGCCUGUCUCAAAGAGGAUGAAAUGAAAACAACGUUUAGCAAACAGUUUUUGAAUGAUUUGAAAAACUUGGGUAAUAUUGCCAGAAGUAUGUUACUUAUUAUUAUAUUACUUAAUACUAUAUAUUUAGAAAUACAGAUAAUAUUCAGAAGUAGGGUGGAAAUGGAAGUAAAUCUUGAGCCUUAAGACUUGGGCGGGGGCUGGGAUUGUAGUUUGGUAGUAGAGCGCUUGUCUAGCAUGUGUGAGGCACUUGGGUUGGAUACUUGGCACCACAUAAAAAUAAGUAAAUAAAAUAAAGACUUGUAGGGGAAGCUAGGUACAGUGGUACAAGCUUGUAAUCCCAGGGGCUUAGGAGGCUGAAGCAGGAGGAUCACAAAUUCAAAGCCAGUAUUGGCAACUUAGCGAAACCCUGUGUCAAAAUAAAAAAUAUAAAGGGAUGAGGAUGUAGCUUAGUGGUUCAAUACCCAGUACCCCCCAAUAUAUGGGGGGCUGUUUUAUAUAUAUGAAUGACUUGUAGGGGAAAUUAAAGGAGAAACACUAGAUAGGAAGACAGCAAAAAGGAAAAGUACUGAAACUAUUACUAAGAAGAUAAGAAAUUUAAAAUUCAUAAAACAUUUCCAUUGAAAAGCUAUAGUAAUGAUUACAAGAAAGAAAAUAGAUCUAUAAAUAAUACUGCCCAAAGUAUUAAAGGACAGUAAGAAUAAAUUAAUGAAGUUUAUAAAUAUUAAUACCUAGAUAACAAUGUUUCACUAGCUUAUUAACCAUCUUAGCACAUGUUUUUGAAAUACCUUCUUCAUAUAAGUCCUUGAUGCACAAAAAAGAUUGCUGUAGAGAAUGUUAGCUGCACCUCAUGCCCCAUUCUCCUUAUCCUUCUCAGGGAAGGAGUUUACUCAGAAUGGGUAUUUUCUCUUUUAAUCCAUAUCUUGUCUGGCCUUUCAAAUAAGGUGCAAGUAAAAUUUUCUGAGAUAGAUAGUCUGACAUUACCAGAAGAUAGAAGAGAUUUGGCUUUUGGCCUGUGGUAGCCUGCUUUUUUCCCCCUUUCCUCUGUUUAAUGCUUUGAAAUAAGGUCUGGAGAUCAAUUGAAUCUUUGUAGUGUCUGUGAGCUAUCAGCUUCACUUUUCCUUUGCUCAUAGAUUUACAAAUACUGGUAAUCAAAUACUGGUUUUAGUGACUUUUGGUUAAAAGGAAUUUUGUAUGUUAAUACUUGAAGUACAAGUUUCUGUCAAAACCAAGAGAUAAAGCAAGUUAUUUCCUCAGUGUACAAAUAAGCUUCUAGCCUAGCCUGGCAUUUUAUUUUGUAAAAAUAAGUUCCACAAAUUAUAAAACCCAUCAAAAAAUAAAAUACCAUUUGAAGUAGUUUAUUUAUUGUAAGAGAAGAUUUGCCAAGAGAGUUAACCUCUGGUAACUGUUAUCUUGAAUGUGUGUAUAAAUGGGAUUACAGGGAGAUUGGAGCUUUUUGACAAAGGGUCUUAGAGCUGGCAUCAGAAUUUGGCAAUCUUUGCCUGCUUUUUCUGUUUCUAGAGAUGGGAAAGAGCUAAUGGAUUAUGGUUUUCACAGGAUGAAAGGUCCUUUAUAAUAAAUCUUUUUUGAAUUUUGUUUUGUAGGGGGGUACGUUAAAAGCAGUAAAAUCUUCCAAAGGAAAGAAGAAGAGAGAGAGCAUAGAGGGGAAAGAUGGCCGGAGGAGGAAAAAUGCUUCGGACUCUGGGUGUGACUCUGCAUCAAAGAAAUUAAAAGGAGACAGGGGUGAAGUAGACAGUAAUGGGAGCGAUGGAGGUGAGGCAAGCCGAGGGCCCUGGAAAGGAGGUAAUGCCAGUGGAGAGCCAGGGCUGGAUCAGAGAGCCAAGCAGCCACCAUCUACAUUUGUUCCCCAAAUUAACCGCAACAUUCGCUUUGCCACUUACACCAAAGAAAACGGCAGGACUCUGGUGGUACAGGAUGAGCCCGUAGGUGGGGACACACCUGUACCUUUCACUCCAUAUUCUACAGCCACAGGUCAGACACCUUUGGCCUCAGAGGUGGGUGGAGCCGAAAACAAAGAGUCAGGAAAAACACUGGAACAAGUUGGCCAGGGCAUGGUGGCUUCAGCAGUUGUGGUCACUUCCGCCAGCUCCACCCCAACCACGGUGAGGAUCUCAGACACUGGCCUUGCAGCAGGGACUGGGCCGGAAAAACAGAAAGGCAGCCGGUCACAGGCCUCAGGAGAGGUGAGUUGCUCUAGGGGCAGAUUUGCUAGAUUUGUGUUUACUCUCUCACCCUUCCUUAUUGUUAACACCUUCACAGACAUCUCAAAUGCCCUAAGGAAGGAAUAUUUCUGAGAUAUGCUUAAAUUAUAUUCUGUGGCUAGGCCUUUACUGCUCUCCUUGAGCAAAUGUGUACAUUUUAAUAACUUUAUCAGUUUUUAAAAGCCACUUGAACAUCUGGACUCAGCUGCGCAUACCUGUAAUCCCAUCAAUUUAGGAAUCAGAGGCAGGAGGAUUACAAGUUUAAAGCCAGCCUCAACAACUUAGUGAGGUCUUCUCUCAAAAUAAAAAUUGACUGGGAAUGUGGCUCAGUGGUUAAGUGCCCCUGGGUUCAAUCCCCAGUACAAAAAAAAAAAGUCACCUGAACAAUUGGGCUAAUCAAAAACUGGUUAUACAACCCAAUUUAAUGAGAUUUAAAAUAGAUCUGAUGGGGAAUCUUUUUAAUUCAAUUAUCUAUUUAGUUCACCAAGUAGUUGAACCUCCACCAAAUCUGAGAGGCAAGAUUAAUGAAUUAUAGUGUUGGUAAUAGUGAACACUAUAAUUAAGGCUGUGAGUCCAAGCUACCAUUACCCUAUUUUCAGUUCAUCAUUUUCUGUGAUAUUUUCCCUUGAGUCUAGGUUACUUUCCAUCGUUUAGUAUGGCCAUAAAAGUUUUUCCCUCACUAAUUUCAUUCUUUUAAUAAGCCUUACUUGAUGGAUUUAAUCAUAACAGUUAUUGCUUUGGUCUUUAUCUGAUAGGAUUUUUUUUUUUUUUUUUUUGCUAAAAUGGAACUUUUGUUAAAUGUAAGUUAAUGUCAAGUUGACACUGCAAUCCAAAUUUAAGACAGUAUCAAAAUCUAUUCUUUUGGUACUAGGGGCUGUGGCUCAAUGGUAGAGCGCUUGCCUGGUACGUGUGAGGCACUGGGUUUGAUCCUCAGCACCUCAUAAAAAUAAAAACUAAAAGCCAGGCAUGGUGUUGCAUGCCUGUAAUCCCAGCGGUUUGGGAGGCGGAGGCAGGAGAAUCACAAGUUCAUAGCCAGCCUCAGCAAUUCAGCAGGGCACUAAGCAACUCAAUGAGACCCCAUCUCUAAUAAAAAACAAAAUAGGGCUGGGGAUUUGGCUCAGUGGUCUAGUGCCCCUGAGUUCAAUCCCUGAUACCAUAAAUAAAUAAAUAAAUAUGGGGGGGGUUUUUGUCCGUCUACAACUAAAAAAAUAUAUAUUUAAAAAUUGAAUUUCUUACUGAUUUUGGUCACCAAACUGAUUCACAUAGGCCAACUCAAGCUAGAGUAUGAAGUGAAAAGAUGAAAUGCAUAAUGAUUUUUUUAAAGUACAUAAGCCAGCCAUGGAGGCACGUGCAUAUAGGCCCAGCUACUCAUGAGGCUGAGGCAGGAGGAUCAUUUUAGCCGAGGAAUUUGAGGCCAGCCUGGACAACAAUGAGACCCCAUCCAAAAAAAAAAAGCAAAAUAAUAUAUAGGAAACUACUGUGUGCUAAGUACUGUGCAUUAUAAAUAUUUUAAAUCACUACUUAAAGGAACCCACACACCAAAAUAGGAUAAUUUCAGGUAUAACAACACAGAUAAAGCAUGACAUAGGACUGGGUGAUAUGGUUUAAUAGAAAAAAAUCUUGCCUAGCAUGCAUGAGGCCUUGUGUUUGAUCACCAGCCCCACAAAGAACAAAACAAAGCAAACAAAAAACCCAUGGUAUAUAAAUUUCAUCUGACUAAUUCCUAAUUCUAGCAAAUACAAUGUGUUAACCCCUAAUAUAUAGGAAUAGAGAGCGAGAUGAAAUGCCUAGGUAAAAGAGGACUGUAAAUGCAAAUUUCACACUGUUUAUGAUUUUUUCCUCAGUUAGUUGACCUAUAGUCCCAAAAGAACCAGGUGAGGAUCAUAGAUGAGUUUCCAAUGUGUAAAAAAAAAAAAAAAAAAAUCUUCAUAAUUUCUGCACCAUUUAAAAUCAACUCUGUGUUAAGGCAGUAUGAAUGUAAAUGAGAAUUACAAAGUAAACCAAAUUUGUGACCUACAAGAAAAGAUCCAGUGAAUGUCACUGUUCUUGGAGUAGCAAAGCUGAUAGAUGAAAUGUGGAGUCAAUAUUUUUUUCAAAUAGGUUGUAGAAACUUCUGUGAAUAUCAUUUUGCUCAUGUUUUAGCCUCUUUCUGCAGUAUGAUUUAAAAUUACAGACAUGAAUGUUUCUGUUACAAUUCUUAAUCUGAAAUAGAGAAAUAGUUACCAGGACUUUCUUGCCCUAAAAGCUGGAGUUGAAAUCAGUUUGUCAUCGCUUUCUUAUAAGGAAAGGAUUUGGAAUUUGAUCAUUUAAAAGAAAAUGAAAGACCAUCCAAAUUAUUUUUCAUUCAUGUGUGUAUUUAUUUUUAAAGGAUAAUGUUAGUAGUAAAACAUGAGCUACUCGUGCAGGUUUCUUGCAGUCAUACAGAUGUCCAGGCUCUGAGCCAAUCCUGCUAGUGAAACAACAGCAAAAUCUCAGGGCUGUGUCAGUCUUAUUUUGGGUGGUGGGGGCAGGGGGGCAUCUUAAAUCAAUGCUUUUGUAGUUAGUAAGAAAAAAAAAUGAACUUUAAUUUUUUAACUCUAAAAUCUGUCAACAGAUGUCAACUGCAAGCAAGCCAUAGGAAGUGUCCCUGGUUCUUCUCCUUCUAUGUCACCUUUAAGGAUAUUUAGCAUUGUAUCAUUUUAAAAUGUAUGAUUCUUUGGCAUGUAGUACAUUCACCAUGUUAUAAAACCACUACCACUAUGAGAUCCAGAAAUUUUUCUCCUUUAAAAUAAAACCCCAUAUUCAUUCAGCAGUGAUGGAAUAAUUUUUUAUUUCCAAUGUUUACAAAUGAAUGUUUAGGUAUCAUUCUCUACUACUUGAAAGUUGGUUGGUGUUUUUGUUUUGUUUUGUUUUAGUUAAUCUACAUUUCAAGUCAAGUGCUAGGAUCUGAGUUUUAUUAAAUUAACGAGUACUACAUAAGGGCUCAUAGCUACCUAAGAGUGUCUCUGUGUGUGCAUAUGGGUACAUAAUGUAUAUGAAAGUGCCCCUACCCUUAUUUAUACAUAUAUUCAUUCACAUGCAGAAGUUAACAUGGGAAGCAUUAUAUAACAUUUUAUUUUCCAAUUUGUUAGGCUAAGUGUUUUUAUUUGGUGAAUAUUUCAGUAAUGUACAUUUUUCCUUUGGGGACUUUUGUUAGAUCAUAAUUAUAACAGAAGAUCUCAAUGGAUAGCUUUCUUUAUUUUAGCAUCUUUAGGAGUAAUAUUAAUUGCAAAUUUUAGGUAGAUUUAAACCAAUAAAUGGCCAGUUUCCAAAAGGAUCCUUUUGUGGAGUUUCAGAUUAAUAAAGAUACUUUUUCUUUAAUAAGUGGGCUUAUCAUAGAAGUGAAGUUACUUUCUAUAAGAUGAAGAUAUUUGCAAUAGCUUAAAUAAAUCAAAACUUUGUAGUUUCUAAGGUCAUUCAGAUAGAUUGAUAUUACAGAGGUCACUAGGUAAAUUUCAAAGUAAAAGCUGUCAUCAGGAAUCUUCCCACAGUUCCCUAACAGAGUCUCUGUUUUCAAAUACUGUAAAUACUAAAAAGCCUACACACCUUUCUAGAACUGACCCAUUGGGUAACAACUAAAGGAGAGGCAGGUUGAAUGACAUCUCUGGCUCAUCUUGCUAGAGUUAAAAUGCCCUCUGUGGUUUAUGGCAAGUUUUUUCCCUUCCAUUGCUGGUGAAAUCCAGAAGAGCAAAUAAGUAGAAUUGUAGGAGAGAAAAGUUGAUUGAUCAAUUGAUCAAUAAUAAAUAUUGAUUCAAUGAUAGGACAAGAAAGAGCUCAUUAGGUUGUCAUCUGAAGCCAGUGUCACUAAUUCAGGCUAUCUUCCUUUCAGAAUUCAAGAAAUUCUAUUCUGGCCUCUUCUGGAUUUGGAACAUCUCUCCCAAGUUUAUCACAACCAUUGACUUUUGGAAGUGGAAGGAGCCAGUCCAAUGGGGUUUUAGCUACAGAGAACAAACCUUUGGGCUUCUCUUUUGGCUGUAGCUCUGCUCCAGAGUCUCAGAAAGAUUCUGAUCUCUCCAAAAACUUGUUUUUUCAAUGCAUGUCCCAAACGUUACCCACCAGUAACUACUUCACUACGGUUUCAGAGAGUUUGGCUGAUGAUUCCUCUAGUCGGGACUCAUUCAAACAAAGCCUUGAGAGUCUGAGCUCAGGCCUGUGCAAAGGCAGAUCCACUCUUGGAGCAGACACUAAGCCAGGCUCUAAGGCUGGCAGCGCUGUGGACCGGAAAGUGCCUGCAGAGUCCAUGCCCACCCUUACUCCAGCCUUCCCCCGGAGCCUCCUAAAUACCCGCACCCCAGAGAGUCAUGAAAAUCUAUUUUUACAGCCCCCUAAACUGUCCCGAGAAGAGCCUUCUAACCCUUUCCUGGCAUUUGUGGAGAAAGUUGAACACAGUCCUUUCAGCAGCUUUGCAUCUCAGGCAUCAGGUAGCUCUUCCUCUGCUACCACUGUCACCUCCAAGGCAGCAACCGGCUGGCCCGAGCCUCACUCGUCUGCAGAUUCAGCAUCUUUAGCAAAGAAGAAAACCCUCUUCAUUACAACUGAUUCCUCCAAGCUGGUGUCUGGUGUUCUAGGCUCAACUCUUACCACUGGGGGUGCAAGCCUCUCUGCCAUGGGGAAUGGCCGCUCCAGCUCACCCACCAGUAGCCUCACCCAACCCAUUGAGAUGCCUACUCUCUCCUCAAGCCCCACAGAGGAGAGGCCAACUGUGGGACCUGGGCAACAGGACAAUCCCCUCCUCAAAACCUUUAGUAACGUCUUUGGCAGGCACUCGGGCUGCUUUCUGUCCUCCCCAGUAGAUUUUUCGCAGGAGAACAAAGCUCCUUUUGAAGCUGUGAAAAGGUUCUCACUGGAUGAGCGAAGCUUGGCUUGCAGACAGGACUCAGACUCUAGCACCAACAGUGACCUGUCAGAUUUGAGCGACUCAGAGGAACAGCUGCAGGCCAAGACAGGCCUGAAGGGGAUUCCAGAACACCUGAUGGGGAAGCUGGGCCCCAAUGGGGAGCGUAGUGCGGAGCUGUUGUUGGGCAAGGGCAAAGGGAAACAGGCCCCUAAAGGCCGACCUCGGACUGCACCCUUGAAAGGUGAUCCUGCUAGGGACUAUACGUGGGCUUUGCUCUGGCACUUGCCUCAAAAUGCUUGUGCUUUUGUGCGGCAGAUGCCUUCAUAUUGAUGGAAAGUUCUAGAAUCUUAUAGAAUUAUAGAGGCAAAGAACCUGGCAGAGGCACCUUAUCAAACUUGGUUGAAUCUAUACCAGCAAUGUAAAAGGGUUAUCUGCUCAUAAAAGAGGACUAUUCAUCUUCAUUAGCUUGUUGUUUUUAAUUAGAAACUAUAUGUCCUUGUGUUGAUUUCAUUCCUUUCUAUUUCAUCAUCUUUAAUUUGCUUCCAGGGAGUUACUAAGAAUUAGUUUUCAUUCCCAUAUUAGUUUUCAUCCCUUUGUAGACUUGAUGAAACAAAAAGAUUCACUCCCUUGGUUUGUUCCUCUCUGAAAUGUAAGGAUUUUUAACGCCUCUACCAAAAAUCUAUGAAUUUAUGAUGUGAGGUUAUGGUCUAGAAGUGUAUAAGAGAAAGUCUGGUGGUAAAAGUAGCUGCUUUCAUUAGGAAUUGAUAUCCUGUGAGAGCCCAAAAAGCCUAGAUUAACAGUAGGCAUAUACUGAGUGUCUAAGGGCAGGUGAUGACUACCUUCUGCUGCAUGAGGCACAUACAGUUCUCCUUAGCUCCCAACCAAAGCCUCUUUGUUCCUUGCUCUUCCUUUCUGGGUUCAUGGUAGAUUAUGUGCCCAAGCAGUGCAAAGAGGAAUAGCCCUUUGACCAGUGUUUGUUCACAUGAGGAGUUUGUUAGUGGACCCUACUUAUGCUUCUUCUGACAGCCUUUUCUCCUCCCUUCCUUGCCACAGUUGGCCAGUCAGUGCUGAAAGAUGUGAGCAAAGUGAAGAAGCUCAAGCAGUCUGGAGAGCCCUUUCUACAGGAUGGGUCAUGCAUCAAUGUGGCACCUCACCUGCACAAAUGUCGUGAGUGCCGCCUGGAGCGGUAUCGAAAGUUUAAAGAACAGGAACAAGAUGAUUCUACUGUAGCCUGCCGCUUCUUUCACUUCCGGAGGUACCUAAAUUCCUCUCCUUGCUGUCAUUCCCAGUUUUCACUAGUGCCAUAUAAUUCCCACUCUUUCUCUAAAUCUAUAAAUUUGUCUUUCUCAGUUUUCCAUAACCCCUAUGCUCACAGGGUGUAUGCUGAGGCUUUGUUGUAGUAAUUACUUAGUUGUUGGAAAAUUAUCCGUGGGUUGGUCCUUGCAGGAUUGAAGUGGAGCAGUUUUAGCUGCUGCCAUGUGCUAUUCCUACUAAGCUGUUCCUAAGUUGGGUUCCAUUUGAAACCAGUGGUAUAAGCAGAAGAACUUCAUUUUAUUUUGGGAAUCUGCCUGACCACUUCUUCUUCUUCAGUGCUAGGGUGACUUGAGUCACUUAAGAGAAGUAAGAUUAGGAGAUGAUGUGAAGCACAUUUCUUUUUAUUUUCUCUCUCUCUCCCUUUUUUUUUUUUUUUGAGAUGAGUUUUUACUAUGUUGCCCAGGCUAUCCCUGAACCUGUAGGCUCAAACAAUCCUCCUGCCUCCGCCUCCUGAGUGCUAGGACUAUAGGUGCAUGUUACCCACUUGGCUCAAUGGAGUAUUUUUAAAAUAGAGAUAACUAAUGAAAACAGCAAUAUCUAAUCACUUUUCCUCUUCCUCUAUGAGAAACUUAGGAUCUGUCAAGGCUGAUUUUGUUUUGUUUUUGUUUAUUUGGCAAUACUGGGGAUUUAACCUGGGGGAUGUGGAGCUACAUCCCCAGUCUCUUUUUGUUUUUUGUUUUGAGACAGGGUCUUGCUAAGUUGUUGAGGCUGGCCUAAACCCAUGAUCCUCUAACCUCAGCCUCCCGCGUCAUUGGGAUUACAGGCAUGCACCACCAUGCCCAGCUAAGAAUCUUUCAUUUUUAAAAUUAAAAAAUCCAAAUGGCUGCUGGGCACAGUGGUACACGCCUAUAAUCCCAAUGGCUCGGGAGGCUAAGACAGGAGGAUCGCGAGUUCAAAGCCAGCUUCAGCAAAAGUGAGGCACUAAGGCUCAGUGAGACCCUGUCUCUAAAUAAAAAAAAGAAAAGCUGCUGAUCAGGGCUUGAGGUGUAGCUCAGUGGUAAAACAUUUGCCUAGAUGAGAAAAAUGUGGGAGGACCUGGGGUUUGAUCCCCAGCACCACCAAAAAAUAAAAUAAAAUAAAUAAAGGCUUAUUGGUGUGGAUGACCUUAUUUGGCAAAUAUUUAUUGAGCAUUUAAUAUGUGCCAGUCAUUAUUCUGAACAUUAAGGAUUCAGUAGUGAACAAAACAUUACAUUCUGGUCUCAGAAAGUUUAGGGAGGAAUUAAAGAAGCAGACAGACAAUAAGAGGAAAAAUAAAUUAAGUAAAUAUUAUGUCAAUUAGUAACUUGAGAAAAAUAAAGACGGGAAAGAGGAUUGAAAUUUCGGUAAGCUAGAGAGGCUACUAUUUUAAACCAGGUGAUCUGAGAAAGAGCAGGUUAAGGAAUGACCUAUUAGAGGUGAAAGAAUAAAGCCACACAGUUGUUAUUCAGGAGACAAGUAUUCCAGACAAGUGCUGCCAUUCUGAGACUGGAAUAUUCUUGAUACAUCCAUAGAACUAGUAUAGCUAAAAUAGAGUAAGCAAGGGGAGUAAUAGAGUUGAGAUCAAAGAAUUAAUGAUGAGUCUAGACUUAAUAGGGCUACUCUAAGGGCCUUGAUUUUUACUGUAAAUAAGAUGUUAUUCAAAAAAACAAAAAAGAAGUCAUUAGAGGUUUUGAGCUGAUGAGUAACACUGAUUAAUGUCACUUUAAGUUGGGCAUGGUGGUGCACAUUAUAAUAAUAGCUACUUGGGAGGCUGAGGCAGGAGGAUCACAAGUUCAACUUGGACAACUUGCUGAGACCCUGUCUCAAAACAGAUAAUAAAGGACUAGGGUUGUAGCUCAGUGGUAAUACGCUCCUGGUUUCAAUUCCCAAUUACCACCCACUGCUUUGACUACCUUUGUGGGAAUAGACUAUAUAUGAGGGCAAGGGGAGAAGCACAGAGAAGUUGAGAGACUAUUGAAGGCAGAGUACUCAGAAUUACCUGAUAGGCUAAAUUUGAAAUUUGAAAGAAUUUCCAGCUGGAGAGAUUGAAAUAACAGUUGGAUCUACACCUUUAGAGUUAAGGGAAGAGAUUCAACCUGGAGAUACAAAUUUAGAUAUCACCAGGGAUUUAAAGCCCAUAGUCUAAUUUGAGACCUCAGGAGUCAGCAUGUAGAUAAAGACCAGAAGCAGGGCUAGGGUUGUAGCUUAGUGGUAGAGAUCUCGCCUAGCAUGCACAAGGCACUGGGUUUGAUCCUCAGCACCACAUAAAUGUAAAAUAAAGAUAUUGUGUCCAUCUAAAAAUUAAAAAUAAAAAAAGAGUCUUAGGACCAGAAGCAUUCUGAGAACUGAGCUCUGGCAUUCUCCAGAAAUGGGAAGUAUUAAAAGGAAUUAGUAAAGGGGACUGAGAAAAGACAGCCACUGAGGACAGAAAAACAGGAAGGUCGGGUGCAGUGGUACAUGCCUAUAAUCCUAGCGACUCAAGAGGCUGAGGCAGAAGGAUUUCAAGUUUGAAACCAACCUCAACAACUUAGGCCCUAGGCAACUCAGGGAGACCUGUCUCAAAAUUAAAAUUUUUAAAAAGGGCUGGGUAUGUGGCUCAGUGGUUAAGUUCCCCUGGGUUCAAUCCCUGGUACAAAAGAGGGAGAGAAAGAGUGAGACAACUGAAGAAAGCACUUCCAGAAAGGAAUAAGGAACUAUGUCAAAUGCUGGCAGGUUGUGUAAGGAAAGGACUGAAAGUGACCUUUUGAUAGCAAGAUGAAAUGACCUUGUCAAAAGUAGUUUUGGUAGUUUGGUAGGCAGAAUGUCUUAUUGUACUGGAUUAGGGAAAACAUAAAGGAAAGGAAAUGGUAGCAGACUUGAAGGAAACUUGGGUCUAACAAGCCAAAAAAAAUGGAGGAGGAUGUGAGGUUGAGAGUAUUUUUGUAAUGGUUAUUGUAGCACGUUUAAAUGCUGAUUUUGUAGAGCAUUAAUAAAUGAUAAUUGGAACCAGGCUUGGUGGUGCAUGCUUGCAAGCCCAGUGGCUCGGGAGGCUGAGACAGGAGGAUUGUAGGUUCAAAGCCAUCCUGUACAACAGCGUAAGACCCUGUAUCUAAAUAAAAUACAAAAUAGGGCUGUGGAUAUGAUUCAGUGUUCAAGUGCCCCAGAAAAAAAAAAAAGAUUGGUAGAGAAAAAGCUAGAUGAUAUAGAAAAGAGGGAAAUUAGUGGAGGAGUGCCUUUGGGUUGGGGAAAAGGGACGGGUGUAGGUGAAGAUAUUAACUUUCAAAUGGACCUCAUUCAGAGCAGGAGAUCAAAUGAAGAACAUGGGCCCAUUUGCAGGAGAGUAUCCACACUUUGGAAUGUGUGGGAUGGGAGCUUGUGAACAAUCUCUUCUGGCUUGUACCAGUAGAACAGGAAGUGAGGUUCUCACAGGGAAUGUAAUUUCAGAAGUAUGAAAAGAAGGAGAGUAUGAAAAUAGGCAUCUAGGAGAGAGAAUCCUCCUGAGGUAGGUAUACAGGAAUUUUAUUUAUUUAUUUUUUUUAGUUUUAUUUUUUGUGGUACUGUAGAUCAAACCCAGGGCCUCACACAUGGUAGAUAAGUACCCUACCACUAAGCUACAUCCCCAGCCCUAUACAUGAGUUUAAAAUGUGAUGAUGAUAUUUUAUUUUUUUCUAGUCACAUUCAGUGGCAUGGGUGCAGUUGUAGAACAGGGAGACAGAAAAACUGAUAAAACUGGUGACAGCUUUUUAAAGAAUCAAUACCUGCUAAGUGUUAAGCCUUCGUAUUAGCUGAGAACAUGUGCAGUUAGCCCUCCAUAUCUACUGGUUUCACAUCCACAGAUUUAACUAACUGUAGAUUGAAAACAUAUUUAAGAUUACAACUGUGCGUGUAUUAAACAUGUAAACACUCUUUUCUUUGUUAAUUAUUUCUUAAUAUAGUAUAAAAAUUAUUUACAUAGUGUUUACAUUAUAUUAAGUAUUGUAAGUGAUCUAGAGAUGACUUAAAGUAUAUGGGAGGACAUACAUAGAUUUUAUGCAAGUACUAUACCAUUUAAACAACCACAGGUUUUGGUAGCUGGGGCAGGGCAGGGAUGUGGCCUGAAAGCAAACCUCCUUGGAUCCCAAGGACAACGGUAUUUGACUGUCUUCUUUUUUCAGGUUGAUCUUCACUCGAAAAGGGGUGCUUCGUGUGGAGGGGUUUCUAAGCCCUCAGCAAAGUGACCCUGAUGCCAUGAACUUGUGGAUUCCUUCUUCCUCCCUAGCAGAAGGGAUAGACCUAGAGACCUCAAAAUACAUUCUGGCCAAUGUUGGGGACCAGUUCUGUCAGCUUGUAAUGUCUGAGAAGGAGGCCAUGAUGAUGGUGGAGCCACAUCGUAAGACAUUCUCUUGCUUGUUUCCAGAUACUUUUCAUUGUAAACUGUUUUCUUUCACUUAAAGGAGGGUUAAAGUGGAAGAUGGCAUUUUUCUGUGAAUGAAUUAAGACCAAUAAGUUUUCUUUUUGUAGUAACUAUAGCUGAGGCCUUAACUAUAUCCAGCAGACUUUAUUUUUUCAAGUCUUUGACAAUUAACCAAAAAAAACUUACCAAAAUAAUUUUAUCAUUUUAUAAUCCUACCAGCAAUGUAUAGAGGUUCCUUCCCUGCCUGUCAUUUUUUGUUACACAGGUGCCAUAAGACACAUUUGAAUCCCCAAUUUUAUUUUUAUUUUUUUUAUUUCAAGACAGCACCUUGCUACAUUGCUUAGGGCCUUGCUAAGUUGCUGAGGCUGGCCUCAAACUUGUAAUCCUCUUCCCUCAGCCUCCCAUAUUACUGGGAUUACAGGCAUGUACUGCCAUGCCCAGCUGGUUUAUCCUGAAUAUUUUUAGUUUGCUUUAAACAUAUUUGUAUUAAUAAGUAAUACUCUGGUUUGUGAAUAAAUGAGGUGGACCACCUACCAUAUUUAUACCUAGAACCCACAUAAUUAUUAAGACAUUUAUAGUAGUUCCAUAUCUAUAAGUUACUAUACACUAUCCCCAGACCAGGAAAGACUAUACAUGAAAUCAUGUCCUAAAUUUCAAGAGACAAAUCUUACUUAAAGCUUUCCCCAGGUUAAAAUUUUAUAGUGUCUUAAGUGACAACAUGUAGCAUUAACACCAGGCUAUCAUAACCUGGUAUUACCACAGACCUUUGAAAUGUUAGACAUUCCUCAUAUAUUUUUUUCUCCUCUUAAAAUUAUAGAAGCACAAACUUCAUCCGAGCACAGUGGCACAUGCCUGUAAUCCCAGCAGCUUGGGUAGCUGAGGGGCAAGGAGGAUCACAAGUUCAAGCCAGCCUCAGCAACGGCAAGGUGCUAAGAAAAUCAGUGAGACCCUGUCUCUAAAUAAAAUACAAAAAAUUAGGGCUGAGGGUGUGGCUCAGUAGUCAAGUACCCCUGAGUUCCAUCCCCAGUACUCCCUUCAAAAAAGAAAGAAACACAAACUUCAUGAAUAUUUGAGUUUUAUUACUAGACAGAAUGGUUUGAAUGGGGAUCAGCGAAUCAGGGUCUUUUGCUAGUGAUUAGGAUUAUCAGUGCCAACAUUAUUACUUUUUCUCUUUCCACCAGAGAAAGUUGCAUGGAAGCGAGCUGUGCGUGGUGUGCGGGAGAUGUGUGAUGUAUGUGAAACAACUCUUUUCAACAUCCAUUGGGUUUGUCGCAAAUGUGGAUUUGGGGUCUGCCUUGACUGCUACCGGCUCAGGAAAAGCCGUCCACGGAGUGGUAAGCAAAUAUUGUCUGAUAAAAUUCUAAAGGGAACCUUUAUGUAUCAGUUGAGUUGUGAAACUUGGAAAUUGAAGGAGUAAUCAGCUUGUACUGCUUAGUUCCAUUUGUCUUUGUUGUAAGACCUUAAAAUUUCCAAUGCUCAGUUUAUCUGGGAAGGCUAAAAAAAAAGCCAGGAAGGAUCAUUCCUCAUCUUUCCUUGUUCUGUUUGGUUUUAAAAAUAUCUUUAUUGAAGUAUAAUUCACACCAUAAAAUUUACCCUUUUAAAAUGUAUAAUUAAAUGAUUUAAAUCAUAAGAUUGUGCAACCAUCACCAUUAAUUCCAUUUAAUAUCUUUUAGGAGUCCAUUCACCAUUCCUACCUCCCCCGGCCUUGGCUACCACUAAUUUAAUUUCUAUCUGAAGGUUUGCCUAUUCUGGUCAUAUCAUGUAAAUGGAAUCAUAAAAUAUUUGAUCUUUUGUGACUGGCCUAUUAGCAUAAUGCUUUAAAGUUUCAUCCAUUUGUAGUUCUUCAGUCUUUUUUCUUUUUCAGUACUCAGGACUGAACUCAGAGCCCAUGAGUGCUAGUCAAGAGUUGUACUACUGAGCUACAUCUCCAGCCCUUAAUUUUUUUUUUUUUUGUAAAUUUUUUUUAUAGUAGUGGACACAAUACUUUAAUUUUAUUUUUAUGUGGUGCUGAGGAUCGAACCCAGUGCCUCACAUGUGCGAGGUGAGCGAUAUACCAACUGAGUUAUAACCCCAGCCCCUUAAUUCUUUUUUUGUAUUGCCAAGCAGUAUUCCAUUGUAUCAAUAUAGUACUAUAUUUUUUCUAUCAACUGAUGUACAUGUGGGUUGUUUUCACUUUUGGCUGCUAUGCAUAGUGCCACUGUAAACAUUUGUAUAUAAGUUUUUGUGUGGACAUAUGAGUUGUCUUGGUUAUACACCUAAAAGUGGAAUGACUGGGUCAUAGGAUAACUAUACAUUUAACCUUUUGAGUACCUGGACAUGGUGGCACACACCUAUAAGCCCAGCUACUUGGGAGCAGAAGUUGGUAGAUCUCAUUUUGAGGCCAGCCUAAGCAACAUAGCAAAACCACCUCUCAAAAAAUAAUAAUUGGCCAAGUAUAUUGGCACAUGUCUGUAAUAUUAGUAACUCAGGAGUCAGAGACAGGAGAAUUGCAAGUUCAAAGCCAGCCUCAGCAACUUAGGCCCUAAGCAACUCAGUGAGACCCUGUCUCUAAAUAAAAUGAAUAAAAUAAAAAUUGCUGGGAUGUUGUUCAGUGAUUAAGCACCCUAGCUCCAAUCUCUGGUACCAAAUUGAAAAAAAGAAAAGAAAACAGGAUAACAUAGAUAAAUCAGUUUCAAAUAUUGAGCAUUAGGCAGUGUGGGACUAUGAUACCUGAGAGAAGGGGAGAAUCGGUGGUUCCUGCAAUUGUCCUAGCUUAGUACCUAGGGCCAUUUUCCAGGCUGUAACCCUGGAAAGGGAACUAAAACGGAAUCUGGCAACCUCACUACAUUGAGACAGAGGUCAGAGUCUGAGAAGAAUAAGCGUAGGACUGAAGAGAAGGGAGCUGCAGAGAGAACAUGAGGAAUCUACAGAGGUCCCUUCAAUUUUUUGUCAUAUACUGAUCUGCACAUGCAUGAGAUGAAACUCCUCAAGGCCUAAGAAUGAACUUUUAGUAAACAACUGAGUAAUUUGUAGACCUUACAAUUUGCAUUCCCAUCAACCAGAGUUAAGGAGAUACUUGGUAGAGUCCAAAAGAAUAACACCUUAAUACUGGACUUAAUAUAGCGCCAGAAUGAAAACUUCUCUGGACCUGCCAUAGGAAAGUGUAAAACAAGCCUCAGAAGAAUCAAACUGACAUGCAAGUUACUUAACUACACUAGAUUAAAGCCCAACAUCUCUUUUUAAGAGAUUACAAUAAAAUCAGUGCCCAGAAACAUAAAAGUCACAAAUUCUUUAUUUAGUUUUAAUUAUCAGAUUUGUAAAACCUGGGCAUAGUGAUACGUGAUUGUAAUCCCAGCUAUGGCAGGAGGAUCACAAGUUUGGGACUAGUUGGACAACUUAGCUAGACCCUGUCUCAAAUUAAAAAAAAAAAAAAAAAAAAUUAAAAGGAUUUGGGUUGUAGCUCAAUGGUACUGGUGGGGAGAAUUCAUAUAAUUCAAAAGAAGUCAAGAAAAAUGAAACUAAAAUAAACUGUAACAAAUAGAAAACAGCUUUAUAGGAAACCUACUUUAAAUGUGAAGACACAGUUUAAAAGUAAAAAAGACGGAAAAUUAUAUCCAUGGCUAACAUGACUUUAAAGAAGUUAACUGUGAGUAUCAGACAAGGUACACUUUAAAGCAAAUAAAUAUUAGUAAGUAUAAUGUAGGUCAUUUCAUAAUAAUAAAGGAAGAGCAAAUAAAUAUUAGUAGGUAUAAUGUAGAAAUCAGUUCAUUGACAAGAAAAUAACAGAGCUGGGGUUGUAGCUCGGUGAAAUUAGACAACAUGCUGUAAAUAACCCGUAGGUCAAAAAACAAAUCACAAGAGAAAUUAGAAAAUGUUUGAAAUGAAUGAAAAUAAGAACAUCCACAUUGUGGUAUGCAGCUAAUGCGGGGAAUUUUAUCACUAAACGCCUAUAUUAGAAAUGUCUCAUUUGCCUAAAGAAACUAGAAAAAAUGAAAAUAUGCAGUUUACCAGUAUUAAGAAUGAGAUGAUGAGGGCUAGGGUUGUGGCUCAGUGGUAGAGUGCUCGCAUGCACAAGGCACCCGGUUCGAUCCUCAGCACCACAUAAAUGUAAAAUAAAGAUAUUGUAUCCACCUAAAGCUUAAGAAUAAAUAUUUUAAAAAAAUAUGAGAUGACCUCACCACUAAUCAAUCAGACAUUAGAAAGGAUAAUGAAUAAAAUUAUGAACUUUAUGUCAAUAGACUUGAUAAGAAAUAUAACAAAUUCCAUGAAAGAUACAAACCAUCUGAAUUCUCUUAAGAAGAAAUAGAUUACCUGAAUAACCUUAUUUUAAGCAGUUGAGGCUACUCACCUGUAUUUUAAGAAAUUAAGGCUAUUGGGGCUGGGGUUGUGGCUCAGUGGCAGAGAGCUUACCUAGCAUGUGUGAGGCACUGGGUUCAAUUCUCAGCACAGCGUAUCAAUAAAUAAAAAAUAAAAAUAAUAAAAGUCCAUUGACAACUAAAAAAAUAUUUUAAAAAAAGGAAAUUAAGGCUGAAAGUUCAAGGUCAAGCUGGGCAACUUAGGCCCUGUGAAACUUAGUGAGACCCUAUCUUUUUUUUUUUUUAAUAUUUAUUUCUUUUAGUUGUACACAAUGCCUUUAUUUUUAUUCAUUUAUUUUUAUGUGGUGCUGAGGAUCGAACCCAGGGCCUCACACAUGCCAGGCAAGCGCUCUACUGCUGAGCCACAACCCCAGCCCCAAGACCCUAUCUUAAAAUAAAAAAUAAAAAGGGGUGGUGAAUGUAGCUCAGUAAUAAAGCACCCCUGGGCUCAAUCCCAAGAGAGAGAAAAGAGGAAAUACAUUACCUGAAUAAACUUAUUUUAAGAAGUUGAAGCUACUUAGGAGGCUGAAACAGAAGGAUUGCCAAGUUCGAGGCCAGCCUGAGCAACCUAGCAAGACCCUGUCUCAAAAAUAAAAUGGGUCCCUAGGUUCAGUCCCAAGUAGUGAGUAAGGGAGGACAAAUGAAUUUGUAGUUUAAAAAAACUUCCAAUGAAGCCAGGCGUGGUGGCACAUGCCUAUAAUGCCAGCGUUGAGGGAGGCUGAGACAGGAGGAUCACAAGUUCAGAGCCAGCUCCAGUAACAGCGAAGUGCUAAACUAAACUCAAUGAGACACCCUGUCUCUAAAUAAAAUACAAAAUAAGGCUGGGAUAUGGCUCCGGGGUUGAGUGCCCCUGAAUUCAAUCCCUGGUACCCACCCCCACCAAAAAAAAAAAAAAAAAAAACUUCCAAUGAAGAAAACUUAUGGCCCAGAUGGUUUUACUGGUAAGUUAUAACAAACAUUUCAGAAGGAAAAUACUAUCAAUUGUACUCACACUCUUUCAGAAAAUAGGAGAAAACACUAACUCAUUUUAUGAUGUUAGCAUUACAACACAUUAAUACCACAACCAGAUGAAGAUAUAACAAGCAAGGAAACUUAGAGCCCCCAAUAUCUCUCAUGAGUAUAUAUUUAACAGUUAAAAAUCAAUCAAUGCAAUUUAUUAUCAGUAAACACUAAACAUAAUUAUUUCAAGAAAUGCAGGAAAAAAACAUUUCUCAAGAUUCUCAACAAACAGCAGUGGUCAUGGCCAAGUGGUUAAAGUGAUGGACUAGAUUCUCAACAAAUUAGGUCAUGUAUUCUCAAAUGGUGAGAAUUGGUUCUUUCAGGAGAAGGGGAAUCUAAGAAGUUACAGGUUGACUAACCCUAAUUCAAUACCCUUGAGACAAAAAUGUUUCCAAUUUUAGAUAUUUUUAAAAAACAUUUUGUAGUGUUUACCAUAGACCUUACAGAUUGAACAUUCCUAAUCUGAAAAUCUUGAAUCUGAGAGCUGGGAAUAUGUGGUAGAUCCUCGCGUAGUAUGCAUAAAGUCCUGGAUUUGAUUCCCAGCAUUGAAAAAAAAAAGAAAGAAAAAAAACCUCUGAAAGUCCAAGAAAUUUUGAGCACACAUAAAGUUUCAGAUAUGGUUGCUUAACAUGUAUGACAAUGGUUCAUGCCUGUCCAGAGGACCACAGUACAUAAGCAGACAUAUUGUAUAUGUGGUAUUAAAAUCGUAGGAUGGCAAGCACAGUUUAAAAAAAGAAAAAAAAAAGCUUAAAGGGGCUGGGGAUGUGGCUCAAGCGGUAGUGUGCUCGCCUGGCAUGCGUGCGGCCCGGGUUCGAUCCUCAGCACCACAUACAAAGAUGUUGUGUCCGCUGAAAACUAAAAAUAAAUAAAUAAAUAUUUAAAAAAAAAAAAGCUUAAAAAUGUUCUUUGAAAGGAUGAUAAAGUUAGAAAAACACUCCAGUGUCAGUAGGAGCAUCAUACAUAAUUGGAAAGACUGGAAAGCAAGGAUGUCCACUUUCAGAACUCCUUGUCAUCAUCAUUGUGCUGGAAUGAUUAGUAUAAAGAAAUAAAAGACAUAAGAUUGGAAAAAAGUAAAAUGAUUAAUCUCACAUGGAAUGAUUAUGCAGAAAAUCCUAAGAAAUGUAUAGAAAAGUCAACCUACAGAAAUCUGUUUAUCUUAUUUCUAUGUGAUGGCAGUCAACAUUUAGAAAUUGAAAUUUAAAUCAAUAUCACUUAGAAUAGCAUCAAAACAUGAAGUGAGCUGAGCACUGUGGUGCACACCUGUAAUCCCAGCGACUCAGGAAGCUGAAACUGGAGGAUCCCAAGUUCAAAGCCAGAUUCUGCAACUUAGCAAGACCCUGUCUCUAAAUAAAAUAUAAAAAGGUCUGGGGAUGUGGCUCAGUGGUUAAGCACCUCUAGGUUCAAUCCCUGGUACAAAAAAAAAAAAAACAAACAAACAUGAAAUGGGGCUGGGGUUGAGGCUGAGUGGUACAAUGCUUGCCUGAGGCCAAUCUCCAGCACCACACACAAAAAAAAAAAACACCUUAGGGAUAAAUGUAGCAUAUCCAUAGAAGACAUAGAAUACCUAAGUAAAUGGAGAUAUGUACUAUAUUCAUGUACAGAUUGAAUACAAAGAUGUCAGUUCUUCUAAAAUAAUGUAUAAUUGAAAACAAUUCAAAAUCAAAAACCCAGUGGGUGUUUUUGUAGAAAUUGAUAAACUGAUUCUAAAAUUUAUGUGAUGGAGAAUGAUAUUGGCUAAAUUAUAUUGAGUGCAUGUACAAAUUAUACACAAUGAAUCUCACCAUUGUGUAUAAUUAUAAUGUACUAAUAAAAAUAUGGGAAAGAAAUGACACAUAAAUAAAUAAGUAAAGUUUAAGUGAAAUGCCAUAGGGCAUGGAAUGGUGGUCCACACCUUUAAUCCCAGUGACUCGAGGCUGAAGCAGGAGAAUCACAACUUCAAAGCCAGCCUGGGUAACUUGUGGGACCCUGCCUCAAAAAAUAAAAAGGGUUGGGGAUGUAGCUCAGUGGUAAAAUGCCCGUGGGUUCAAUCCCCAGUACUGCCUAAAAUUGUAUGUGAAAUGCAAAACCUAGAAUAACCCAAACAAAAAAAGAAAAAACAGAGUUGAAGGAUUGUCCUGUGCUUCAUUCCAAGACUUGCCAUAAUGCUGUAAGUAAUCAUUAUAAAAAAUACUGUAAGUGGACUAUAGUCCUAAAUUUAAAGAUUAAGGUGAAGAAAGUAUUUGUGUUCUUGAGUUAGACAAAUAUUUCUCAGGACAUGAAAAGCAAAAAAAAAAGAAAAAAUUUAAUAUCAAAUUUUAAAACUUGUUCUUCAGGGGCUGGGGCAGUAGCUCAGUGGUAGAGUGCUCACCAGGCAUGCAUGAGGCACUGGGUUCGAUCCUCAGCCCUACAUAAAAAUAAACAAAAUAAAGGCAUUCUGUCCAUCUACAGCUAAAUAUAUAUAUAUAAAAGUUGACUUUAAAAAAAAAAAACUUGAUCUUCAGAAGACACUGUUAAGGAAAUUAAAUGAGACCACAGACUGGGAAAAAAUAUUUAUCAAUCAUAUUCACUAAAGAAUUUUGUCUGUAAUACCUAAAGACCUCUCACAGCACAAUAACAAGACAACCAAGUUUUAAAAUGAGCAAAAGAUCCAAAAAGGAAGAUCAAGGGGGCUGGUGGUAUUGGUGGAGUGCUUGCCUAGCAUGCACAAGACCCUGGGUUCAAUCCCUAGCACCACACACAAAAAAAAUCAACCCCACAGUAGUAGCUCACACCUGCAAAUUCCAGCUACUUAGAAGGCUGAGGCAGAGUAUGAUGAGUUCGAGGUCAACCUAGGCAAUCAUAUGAUCUAGCUUCACUCUCUUAGGUUGUUAACAAAAGAAAUGAAAACAUGCCUAUACAAAGACUUGUACAUGCAUGUCUAUAACCACUUAUCUCAUUAUAGCUUGGAAGCAAUUCAAAAGUCUACUAAAUGAUAAAUAGAUAAGGAAAUUGUUAUAUAUCUAUACUUUAGAAUACCACCCAAAGAGAAUGAAGAGCUAAGGAUAUAGUUCAGUGGUAGAGUGCUUGCUCAGCAUAUUCAAGGCCCUGGGUUCAACUUAAAAAAAAAAAAAAAGAAUUACUGGUACAAACAAUACAGAAAUACAGAUGAAUCUCAAAAGUGUAUGCUGAGUAAAACCCAACACAAGUGACUACAUCCUGUGUGCUUCCAUUCAUAUGAAAUUCUAAUAAUAUAAAACUUUAGUAUUAAAAAGUGGAUCAGUGAGGGGCUGAGGUUGUGGCUCAGUGGCAGAGCACUUGCCUUGCACAUGUGAGGCACUGGGUUCAAUCCUCAGCACCACAUAAAAAUAAAUAAGCAAAAUAAAGAUAUUGUGUCCACUUAUAACUAAAAAAAAAAAAAACUGGAUCAGUGGCCAGGUGCAGUGGCACACUCCUAUAAUCCCAUUGGCUUGGGAGGCUGAGGCAGGAGGAUUAGGAGUUCAAAGCCAGCCCCAGAAACUUAGCAAGACCUUAAACAACUUAGUGAGACCCUGUCACUAAAUAAAAUACAAAAUAGGGCUGAGGAUGUGGCUCAGUGGCUUGAGUUCCCCUGAGUUCAAUUCCCCAUACCCGCGCCCCCGCCCCCCCAAAAAAAAUAAAAAGGUAGGAAGGAAAAUGGAUCAGUAGAAGCUAAAAUUCAACAAAGAGUAUUAGCUCAAGAUAUAGGAUAAAAGUGUUCUGUAUCAUGAUUGUGACAGAGUUUGUACAACUGAAUGAAUGUUUGUUGAAACUCAUUGAGGCACACAUUUUAAAUUGUUGGUUUAUUUUAUAUAAAUUAUAUCAGAGUAAAGCAGGUGUUUUUAAAGUUAGCUGUUACCUUCUUUCACCAUGAGAAAAUUUACCUUUAAGUUUUUGAAGCUUUGUCUCACUAAGAGGGAUCCAUCUUGUGAGCCUAAUAAAAUAAAUGAAAUCAUUCGUUUCUGUUUCAGAGACAGAGGAGAUGGGUGAUGAAGAGGUUUUCUCCUGGUUAAAGUGUGCAAAGGGACAGUCACAUGAACCAGAGAAUCUCAUGCCCACACAGAUCAUCCCUGGCACAGGUAAGGAAAUUUCUUUUUAUCUUUUUUUUUUCCCUAACAUGCAUAAGGCCCUGGGUUCGAAUACAAGCAAUGGGAAAAAAAAAAAAAAGAGGUACAUUGUUGGGUUUUGUUUUUGGUACCAGGCAUUGAACCCUGGGGCACUUAACCACUGAGCCACAUCCCCAGCCCUUUUUAUAUUUUUUAUAAAGACAGUGUCUUGGGCUGGGGAUGUGGCUCAAGCGGUAGCGCGCUUGCCUGGCAUGCGUGCGGCCCGGGUUCGAUCCUCAGCACCACAUACAAACAAAGAUGUUGUGCCCCCCGAUAACUAAAAAUAAAUAAAUAAAUAAAUAAAUAUUAAAAAAAAAAGACAGUGUCUUGCUGGUUUGCUGAAUCUGGCCUCAAACUUGGAAUCCUCCUGCCUCUGCCUAGUGUUUUUUGCUUUUUUGGUGUUUGGGGGUUUUCUUUCUUUGUUUUUUGUGCUACUGAAGAUUGAACCUAGGGGCACUUUACCACUGAGCUACAUCCUACACCCCCCAGCCCUUUUUUAUUUUUCAUUUUGAGACAGAGUCUCCCUGAGUUGUCCAAGCAGGCCUUAAAUUUGGAUCUUCUUGGCUUAGCUUCCCUAGUAACUAGGAUUACAGCUUAUGCCACCAUUCCUGUCUGGGAAAAAAAAGUGUUUUUAAUUGAAAUAUUUACAUUCCAUAAAAUUUGGUGAAAUGGUUUAUCUUAGUUUGAGGGUUUUGGUUGUUUUUUUAUUUUAUUUGUUUUUUAAGCCUAAACUGAGCCUACUGGCACAUAUCAUUAAUCCCAACAACUCUGUAGGCUGAGGCAGGAGAAUUGCAAGUUCAAGGCCAGACUUAGCAACUUAGAGAGACCCUAUCUCAAAAUUUAAAAAAAAAGGGGGGGGGGGGGCUGGGCAUAUAGCUCAGUUGGUAGAAUGCUUGCCUCUCAUGCACAAGGCCCUGGGUUCAAUCCCUAGCACCACAAAAAAAAAAAAAAAGCUUCACCAGAUUUCUCAGAAUUUGAAUCUUUAGAUAUAUAUAUAGUGCAUGCAGCAACUGCAUAUUCUGUACUGUCUUUCUGGUCAUAAGACAUAGCUCACUGGGUUUCUAGCUAUCAUUUCACAUUCCUAUGGUUGGCUGGACUAGAAUGAAAAAGCCAGUCCCUAGGGUUCCAGAAAGACCUCUGGUUUUAGGCUUAUAAUAAUCCAGCUGAAGGUAAUCAAACCCCUUGAACCCUUGAGGAAGGUGGCUAGCUUAAUAGUAAGAACAAAUGAUGAUAUUUAUGUCACAAAUCCAGUUUACUGCAGUGAUUCCUCCAGAAGUUCUGUAUCCCCAGCUUUCACAUUUCCAUUAACAUACAUGUAUUGGAGUUCUGACUUUGCCAAACCACUGCCCAUCUACUCCUUUACUUAAGGAAGCUUUAGGGGGUAUCUCCAUUGUUUUCAAUUAAGGGCUUCCUGGGUACAGUGGUAGGAUGUCUGUUCCCUACUGGUUUUAGCAUGGUUAUACAUGUGCUUAUGUAAAAUUUACAUUGAUCUAUUUUUUCUUCACCUUUUUUUAUUUAUUUUUUAGGGGAGCCGGAGAUUGAAUUCAGGGGUACUCAACCACUAAGCCACAUCUCCAGCCCUAUUCUGUAUUUUAUUUAGAAACAAGGUCUCACUGAGUUGCUUAGUGCCUCAGCCUCCUGAGCCACUAAGAUUACAGGCAUGCACCACCACGUCAGGCUCUUCACCUUUUUUUAAAAGUAUAAUUUGCGGGCUAGGGACAUAGCUCAGUUGGUAUAGAGUGCUUGCCUUGCAUGCACAAGGCCCUGGGUUUAAUCCCCAGCACCACACAAAAAUAAUAAUAAUAAUAAUAAUUACAAUAAAGUGUACAAUUCAGAAUGUUUGUACUCUAGAUCAUUAAGGAUUAUACCCCUCAAGAUCUUCUGAAGGAAAUCUUGUUAAUUCUUUUUUUUUUUUUUUUAAUAAUAUUCCCUUUUAAUGAUUUUUUUUUUUUUAGAGAGAGAGAGAGAGAGAGAAUUUUAAUAUUUAUUUUUUAGUUUUCGUCGGACACAACAUCUUUGUUUGUAUGUGGUGCUGAGGAUCGAACCCGGGCCGCACACAUGCCAGGCAAGCACGCUACCGCUUGAGCCACAUCCCCAGCCCCUUGUUAAUUCUUAAUAGAGGAGAGAGAGAGUGUGGCUCAGUGGUUAAGAAUUUUUGGGCUAGAUAUGUGAGUUGAAGUCUUAGUACUUCCUUUUACUAACUUUAUGUACUUGAGCAAAUGAUCUAACUUCUUUUAGUUUCAAUUCAUCAUCAAAAAUUAGGGAUAAAUGCAGUUAACACAUUGAAAUGUGGUAAGGAUAAAGGGAAAUAAUAUAAAGAACGUUCUUAGCAAAAUAUGUCUCACAUACAAGUGUUCCAAUAUUAAUUAUUAUAUUUUUUCCAAGCUCUUUACAAUAUUGGAGACAUGGUACAUGCUGCCCGGGGCAAGUGGGGAAUUAAAGCAAACUGCCCUUGUAUCAGUCGGCAAAACAAAUCUGUGUUGAGACCUGCUGUCACCAAUGGGAUGUCACAGGUAAAGUGGUAUGUGUGGUAUAACUAAGUGAAAUUUCAGUUCUUAUUGCCAGUAAAUGCCCCAUUUUCAACAGUGUUUUUCCAGGCCUUUACAAGGUUUCUGAGGAAUUAGGGAAUGGGGAAACCUUUCUAGAGAGCCCAAAAAAUUUACUGAAGGGAUUUUUAAGGUGUGGUUUCUUUUCAUUCAUCUUUAAACCAGUUCUUGGUUGAUAAAUUGCAUGGAGAGUCUCUGUAUCUUGUCAAGGUCUUUUUGUGGGUGAAAACUACAGAAAAGGUUUUUAGGAAUACUUGUGGUUUUUUCAGUCCUGUCUGAGAAGGUACAUCGUCCUAUUAAUGGGUUCAUCUUAGGUACAGAGGACAGAAAUUUGAAGAGUUGGAUUGGUUCUACCCUCAAAGCAAUCGUAAUCCUCCAGAGAGGUAGUGAUUUUUCUCACUGCCCUCUCAGAGACGGGCCAUUCUGGUUUGAUGGUGACUAUGUUGAACAAGCAGUUGUUUUUUAAAAAAGAACCUGCAGCUUACUGUUUACAAUUUGAAGUCUUUCUCGGAAUACCAUGUUUGUUUGAUAAGAGGCACAGGGAUGGAUGCUAAGAGAUCUAGAGAUAUAUUUUUAGCCAGGUUCAUAUAUCAGAGCAAAUAAUUUGGAAAAUUCAGUAAUGUAAUAGAGUGAUAACAUUUAUUAAGCAUUUAUGUGUGCCAGAACUAUGCUAAGCCCUUUCCAUAUGCUAUCUCAUUUAACCCCCAGAAGAACUUAAUGAGUUUUAAUCACCAAUAUGUCAUUGGGGAAAUUAUUUCAGGCAUGCUAAAUCUUUAUUUUAGAUUAUAAACUUUAAGUCUUAUCCCUGUAUUUUCCAUAGAACCUAGCACAGUUUCUAGUGCAUAGUACAACUCAAUAAAUAUACGUCAAAUUAAAAAAUUGGUGAAAUAACAGUUUAUGGGACAGUUUCAAAUUAUUCUUCCAGACCUAUUUAUUGUCAGCAGCCAUUACUAGUCAUGUUUAAUUUUCUCUACCUAAACCAACCACUUUAACCACACUUUUAACAAGUACUUUUAACUUUCCAUGCUUUAGCUUCCCAGCAUAAACCCUAGUGCCUCUUCUGGAAACGAAACUACCUUCUCAGGUGGAGGAGGAACUGCAACAGUCACAGCACCAGAGACUGACCAUGUUUCCAAACCUGAGGGCACUGACAUCAGAUCUGAAGAGCCCCUGAAGGGAGACAGUUCAGCAUCAAAUAGCAAUAGUGAGCUAAAAGCCAUCAGGCCCCCAUGCCCUGACACGGCUCCUCCCUCCUCUGCCCUGCAUUGGUUGGCAGAUUUAGCAACUCAGAAGGCUAAAGAAGAAACAAAAGGUGAGAUGAACACCUUUUGCCCUUCCUAUGGGAGGAACCUGAAGGUUUUUCUGGGAUUCUUCAGACUCACACAUUAUCAUACACAUUAAUGAAACAUGCGUCUUGCUUUCUCUGGCUAAUCACACAAAUGAGGGAAUCUCUUUUCAAUUUCUUUCUAGAAAUAGACCUUUUCUAAAGACAUAUACCCGGGCCCGCCUUCAGGCCUCCCUAGUGAGAAUUGAUGCAAAGUUUUUUGUUGUUGUUUCCUGGGUUUUUUUUGUUUGUUUGUUUUGGGGUUUUUUUAGUUGUCAAUAGGCCUUUAUUUUAUUUAUUUAUAUGUGGUGCUAAGAAUCGAACCCAGUGCCUCACACAUGCUAGGCAAGUGGUCUACCACUAAGCCACAACUCUAGCCCAAAGCAAAGUUUUAGCAAGCUUCCCAGAAGUUCUGUUUUUCAGCCCAAAACACCAAUAAUCUCCAUUUUAUAUAUAUGUGUGUGUGUGUAUGUAUGUGUAUAUAUGUAUGUAUAUGUAUUUUAAUAAAUAUAAAUAUAUAUAUAUUUUUUAGUUUUUAAUGGACCUUUAUUUUAUUCAUUUAUUUAUAUGUGGUGCUGAGAAUCCAACCCAGUGCCUCACACGUGCUAAGCAAGCACUCUGCUGCUGAGCCACAACCCCAGCCCCAACAAUCGCCAUUUUUUUUUUUUAAGUUGUAGAUGGACACCGUAUCUUUAUUCAUUUGUUUUUAUAUGGUGCUUAGGAUCAAACCCAGUGCCUCACACAUGCGAGACAAGCACUCUACCACCUAGCUAUAACCCCAGUCCAACAAUCUCCAUUUUUAACAGGGACUCCAGAUGAUUCCAAUACCCGUGUUCUGGUGACCCACCUGAGUAGCUUGCUCUCUCUCUCUUUUUUUUUUUGGUGGAGGUGUUUGUGGUUAAGUUUUGAAACCAGAGCCUCAUGCAUGCUGGGCAGUCACUUUACCAUUGAGCUAUAUCCCUGUCCCCUGGAAACCCACUUGAAAAACAGUUUUAGAAAAUGAGGGUUAAGAGAGGUGGAUGGAAACAAAAGUAAUCCAAAUCUGGAAAAGAAAGGAAGAAAUAGGAGAGUUUCUCUUUGGCCCUGAGAUCUCCCAUAUUCAUAGCUUGUCAGGUUUGGUCCCAACAAACCUUACACAGUUGUCAGGUAAAAGAGAGCAUCUUUUGUCCCUUCCGCUUGGCUGAUUUUUAGGAGUCAGUUGUCUGAUGGGUAUUUCUUGCUGUGCCUAAAGCUAUUACUGGUUAUGUUCUUACAGAAGCAGGGUCCCUGAGAUCGGUGCUCAAUAAAGAAUCUCAUUCACCCUUUGGGCUGGACUCUUUCAACUCUACUGCAAAGGUCUCUCCGUUGACUCCAAAGCUUUUUAACAGUCUGUUACUGGGUCCCACUGCCUCCAACAACAAAACUGAAGGCUCCAGCCUUCGAGACCUCCUUCACUCUGGACCCGGAAAACUUCCUCAAACCCCCUUGGAUUCAGGCAUACCCUUCCCCCCAGUCUUCUCAACAUCCUCAUCGGUAAGUGUCCUCUCUACAAUUCUAGGCUUUGCUGCUUUUCUAUGAAAGAACCAUCAAAGAUCUGAUAAUUAGGUUAGAGGUCAUGUGGGUGAUUUGUGUUCUCUAUAUUGUCAAGCUGACAACAUAUCUCUUUUAAGUUUUAGGGUGUUUGAGAUCCGUUUAAGUAGUGAACCUUUUGUACCAUGUUAGGAAGUUAGUAAAAUUAAGACAUUAAAAUAUUUUAGUCAUCAGUGGAAAAGUCAAUACAUUGAUCCAUUUGAUUUUCUUUCAGACUUUUUUUGUGUGUGUGUGGUGCUGGCAACCAAACUCGGGCUCUUAUGCAUGCAGGGCAAGCACUCUAACAGCUGAGCUAUAUUUGCAGCCCCUCAGACAUUAAUUUUUUUUAACUUAGCCAAUACAUUUAUAAUGUUACUAUCUUGGAUAUCUUAUAGAUAUCCUUAAACCUUUAACACAUCUAAAACGAACUCUUGAUCUUCUGCCAAUAUUACUUACACUUCUUUAGUAUCCCUUUCUUGGUUAGUAGCAUCUCUAUCCUUUCAAUUACUUGUCCCCAAAAUCUUGGAAUCAUUUGGUACUUUCCUCUCAUAUAUUUAUUUUUGGUACUGGGGUUUUAACCCAGGGGCGCUUAACCACUGAGCUACAUCCCAAGCCCUUUUUAUUUUAUUUUUUUAUUUUGAGGCAGGGUCUUGUUAAGUUGCUUAAGGACUUGCUAGUUUGUUAGGCUGGCUUUGAAUUUGCUAGUCUUCUGCCUCAGCCUCCUGAAUUUCUGGGAUUACUGGCAAUGUGCACUAUGCCCAGCUUCUCCUUGCUUAUAUUUCAUAUCAAUCUAUCGGUAAAUCCCUUAAUUUGAUCAGAAUAUAUUCAGAAUUUACCUGUUUCUUUCCAGCUCCACCUUUCUUACUAACCUGAGCUGAUAUCCUCUCUUGCCUAAAUUUUUGAAGUAAAUUCCUCAGUAGAAUUCUAUGAGGAAUAGAUUCUGCCCGUUACUGUCUAUUUUCUUUUUUUAAAUAUUUAUUUUUUAGUUGUAGUUGGACACAGUACCUUUAUUUUAUUUAUUUUUACGUGGUGCUGAGUAUUGAACCCAGGGCCUCGCAUGUGCUAAGAGAGCACUCUGCUACUGAGCCACGACCCUAGCCCACAGUCUAUUUUCAACACAGCAGCUCAAGUGGUCUUUUUAAAAUGUAAGUCAAAUCAUGUUCCCUCUACCUAAAAUCCUCCAAGAACUUCCUAUUUCUCUUCAUAAGCUAAACAGAGUCCUCAAAAUGUACUAGAAGUCUUUGACUCUUUCUAGGCCUCUUCUCACUUCUCUGACCUUACCCCUCUUUCCUUCUUGUUCAUUCUGCUUCAGUCAUACCUGUCUGCUUGCUGUUUCUUGAACAUAACCUGGCAUGCUUCCUCUGCUAUAACCCAGUCCCUGCACUUGUUUUCUCCCCCAGAAUUUUCCUCCUAUGUAACCAUUUGGCUGGCUUCAUCAUCAACUUCUUUUCUUCCCUCCUAAAAUGUCACCCUCAGGAAACCUUUCUUUAUACAUCACUCUUUAAAAGUUUAUCACAGUAGAGGUAGGGAUGUAGCUCAGUGGCAGAGGGCUUGGCUAACGUGUGAGGCCCUAGCACCACCAAAAAAAAAAAAAAAAGUUUAUCACAUUAGGCACAAUGGUACAUGCAGCUUGGUAGGCUGAUAGGAAGAUUGCAUGUUCAGGGUCACUCUUAGCAACUUAGCAUAGCCCUAAGCAACUUAGUGAGAUCCUGUCUCAGAAUUAAAAAUUAAAAGGCAAAAGUCCUGGGAAUAUAGCUCAGUGGUAAAUUGCCCCUGGGUUAAAAAUACCCAGCACCAGGCUGGGCGAGGUGGUACAUACCUGUAAUCGCAGCAGCUUGGGAGGCUGAGACAGAAGAAUCAAGAAUUCAAAGCCAGACUCAGCAACUGUGAGGCACUAAGCAACUCAGUGAGACCCUGUCUCUAAAUAAAAUACAAAAAUAGGACUGGGGAUGUGACUUGAUGGUUGAGUACCCCUAAAUUCAAUCCCCAGUACCAAAAAAAAAAAAAGAUACCCAGCACUAAACCGCACUAAACCGCCCCCUGCCUGCCAGAAAAAGUUUAUCACAGUACCAUACUCCACUCAUAACUAUCUUCUCUGCUUGUUUUCAUACCACUAACUACCAUCUUACUAGCUGUUUUAUUUAUUGUCUGUCUUUUGCCUUUCCUAAAAGCACUUUUGAUUGUUUUAUUCACCAAUAUAUUCCUAGUACCACAGAAUUUGAUCCAUAGUCAUGUUUAGUUAACAUUGAAUAAAUGAAUUCACAAGAUAUAAAAAGUUGAAAAAUACAAAAGAGUUAUAGUGAUAAGGCCACCCAUUUCCCUUUCUAGAGGCAACCUUUCUCUUUUGUUUCUUUAGUGUUGGAGAUUACACCCAGGGGCAUUUAACCACUGAGGUACAUCCUCAGCCCUUUAUAUUUAUUUUGAGACAAGGUCUCCAUAAGUUGCCUGGGCUGAUCUUGAACUUGUAAUCCUCCUGCAUGGCUGGAAUUGGAGAUGUGCACCACUGCACCCAACCACCAUUGUUUCUUGAGUGUCAUUUCAGAAAUAUUGUCAUAUAUGCUGUCCCCCCCAUUUACAUAAAUGUUCUACAACUUGCUUUUCUCUCUCUCACUUUAUAUGUCUUGCAGGUCAUUUCAAACAAGUAUAUAAAUAUGUUUCUCAUUCUAUGUUAUGAUUAAUGGCUGAAAUUUGAUGAACUGCAAGUGAUUGAACCUAUACAAUUGGGUUGCUUCUCUUCUGCAAAAGUAACUUAAAAAAAAAAAAGGGCUGGGGUUGUGGCUCAAGCAGUAACACGCUCGCCUGGCAUGUGCAGGGCGCUAGGUUCGAUCCUCAGCACCACAUGAAAAUAAAAUAAAGAUAUUGUGUCCACCGAAAACUGAAAAUAAAUAUUAAAAAAAUUCUCUCACUCUCUCUCUCUAAUUUAAAAAAAAAAAAUAUAUAUAUAUAUCAGUUACUCCUCCUAACCCCUGUUGCCCAUAUUAGGGAUUAGACCCAGUCCUUUUUUUUUUUUUUUGAGUUAUUUUAUUUUUAUGUGGUGCUGAGGAUCCAACCCAGCGCCCCUCGCAUUCCAGGCGAGCGCGCUAUCGCUUGAGCCACAUCACCAGCUCACUGAACUAUCUUUUUAAAAAUUUUUUUUUAAUAUUUAUUUUUUAGUUUUAGGUGGAUACAGUAUCUUUAUUUGAUUUUUAUGUGGUGCUGAGGAUCGAACCAGUGCCUCACACGUGCUAGGCGAGCACUCCACUACUUGAGCCACAACCCCAGCUCCUUUAAAUUUUUUUUCAUUUUAGACAGGUCUCGCUAAGUUGCCCAGGCUAUCCUCUUAUCUUAAGAUCCCCCUGCAUUCGCCUCCUGAAUCACUGGAAUCACAGGCCUGGGCCACCGUGCCUGGCAAAAAUUACUCUAUUUUAUUUGUAUUUGUUCAUAUUCUCAGUUCUUUUAUUUUUUUUAAUUUCUUUUUUUUUUUUUUUAAGAGAGAGAGAGAGAGAAUUUUAACAUUUAUUUUUUAGUUUUCGGCGGAGACACAACAUAUUUGUUUGUAUGUGGUGCUGAGGAUCGAACCCGGGCCGCAUGCAUGCCAGGCGAGCGCACUACCGCUUGAGCAACAUCCCCAGCCCUAAAAUUUUCUUUUAAAUAUUUUUUAGUUGUAGAUGAACACAGUACCUUUAUUUAUUUAUUUGUAUGUGGUGCUGAGGAUCGAACCUAUUGCCUCACAUGUGCAAGGCAAGUGCUCUACUACUGAGCCACAACCGCGGCCCCUUAAUUUCACAUUUUUUUCCAGAAUAUUAUAUGGUUACAUGCCUUAGAGAUUAUGAUUAGUGAUUUUUCAGCAAUAGGAUUAUCAAUAUUACAAAAUCUACACCCCCUUUCAUUCUGUGAUGUACGAAAUGUCACUUUCAUCUGUGGGCUUACGCUUUGCUAUCAGCUGAGAUAGAUGAGAGAUGCAUGAUAAUUCUCUUCAGUUACUUAGGUGAAAUAUCUCCGCUGGCCAGAAAAAAAUUUGGAACUCUCCCCCCCAAAUUAAAUGAUCUUUUUCAAUCAGUUAUAUCAUUUUGUGAACUCUGCAAUCUACAUACCAUAGGUAUUUCUUAGGUCUCAAGUCUCUUGAAGCAAAGGGUUCUUUCUAUACUUUUCUUUCAUAAAUGCAAGAUAAAUAUCAAAGAUAAAGGAAUUUAAGGUACUAAAAAUAUCAACUUUUUGUUCCUCCUCCAAUUGUACAAGAUAUUCUGAUAACUUUUGUGGAAUUUAAUCAGAUAGGUAAGAACUUAGAAAUGGCAACUGUGAUAUGGUUUUUUUUGAAUGCUUUUCUUAUGGCAUCUCAGUCAAGCUUACCUAUGUCUGGCAGGGAGUAAAAAGUAAGGCCAGUCUACCCAACUUUCUUGACCACAUCAUUGCCUCAGUGGUAGAAAAUAAGAAAACCUCAGAUGCUUCAAAGCGGGCCUGCAACUUGACUGAUACCCAAAAGGAAGUGAAGGAGAUGGUGAUGGGGUUAAAUGUGCUAGACCCCCAUACUUCACACUCCUGGCUCUGUGAUGGAAGGCUUCUGUGUCUCCAUGAUCCCAGCAACAAAAACAAUUGGAAGAUUUUUCGAGAGUGUUGGAAGCAAGGCCAGGUAAGUAAGAAUAAAGCUUCUGCCUGCCUGGCAUAGCUAUCAGGAUAAUUCUAGGCUUCUGUGGGAGAUCUUUUGCCAGAGAGAUUUAGACAUAAUAAGUGUAUUGUUGAUUUUCCUUGGUCCUUUUAAGUAUCUUAGAUUUUUAAAAUGAAGGAAUUUCUAAAGGAAAAAGUACAAUCAAGUAUCAUUUUAUUUCUAAGCUGUACAACUCUGUGUUCUUAAAAGGGCAGCUGAAAUUACUGUAAGAUAUUAAACUGGAACUGACAAUACCUCAGGAGGAGAAUCCUUAAAUGUGUUAUUAGGGUGAAGGAAUGGGUAGAAAAGGGUAGUACUUUUCUAGGUCUGUGUUUGAAGGUGUCCCAUAAACUUAUGCAAUAACAAUUGUGAUUUUUAUACUUUAGCAGCUGCUUAAGGAAGGAAGAGAUUAUGGAUUUAUCUAGGUAGUUUUUCACUUAACAUUUGAGGAAGUGUUGAAUUUGUUUGCUUACCUCAAAAUAGUGGUAGAUACCAGAGCAACAGAAGUAUUUCUGCGGCAUGCCUCCCAGAGUAAGAAUCCAAUAUAAUAAUGAAGUAGAAGCGGUUUCCAUUCACUUUAGCUGAUGUGUUAAAAUCCAUAAAUCUGGGCUGGGAUUGUGGCUCAGCGGUAGAGCGCUCACCUAGCAGGUGCGAGGCCCUGGGUUCAAUCCUCAGCACCACAUAAAAAUAAAUAAAUAAAGCUACUGUGUCCAACUACAAUUAAAAAAUAAAUAUUUUUUAAAAAUCCAUAAAUCUUAAAAUUGUAAAAGAACAAUAAUUUUGUAGAGAAGAGCUCUCCCUAGGAAACCCUCCUGUUCAGUCCUUUAGCCAUGGAAUUAACAGUAUUUCCUAAAUGGCCCUGAUUAUAUUUUUGUUUCCACAGCCAGUGCUGGUUUCAGGAGUACAUAAAAAGCUCAAGUCUGAACUCUGGAAGCCAGAAGCCUUUAGCCAGGAAUUUGGAGACCAGGAUGUGGAUUUGGUGAACUGCAGGAAUUGUGCUAUAAUUUCUGAUGUGAAAGUUCGGGAUUUCUGGGAUGGCUUUGAGAUAAUAUGCAGUAAGUAGCAUUGAUAUCUAGUUGACUAAUGGCAGAGUGGGAAGCAUCUAUAUGCCAGCUCUGUCCCUGCAAUAACAGAUCAUAUCCUCUUGGUGGAAGGAACCUUCUGUCUGGUGCUAAACAUUUAGCUUGCAUGGCAAUCCUAUGGCUUCCCAAAAUAGUCCAGGCUUUAGCCUGUAAGACCAUAGGGAAUGUGGAAUAUUUUUACUCAGAGGAAACCAGAUAUAAUCUUAUAAAAUGGAGAAACAUGGCAAGUGGGUAGGAAAACAAAGCCCACCUAAUCUAGUCCAUUAUGUGGACUAGGUUUAUAAAUCUGAAAUAAGAACUUUUAUCUCAUACAUAAUCACUGGAAAAAUUUGGGGAGUAACCAACCCCACAGAUGUUUGUGAGAAUACUGUCUCUCUUCCAGAACGACUAAGAUCAGAAGAUGGGCAGCCAAUGGUGCUCAAACUCAAGGACUGGCCUCCUGGGGAAGAUUUUCGGGACAUGAUGCCAACAAGGUUAGUUGUUGUCUGGGCCAUCUUCUGAGAUUCGUGCCUUGCCAAAGCCAUCACAGAAUAAUUACAUAAUCCCAGACAAGUGAAUUUUGCCUCUUUGCUUUCUUGCCCUAUAAUAGCUAAGUUUUCUAUCCUACUGUUUUGUAGGUUUGAAGAUCUGAUGGAGAACCUUCCUCUGCCGGAAUAUACCAAACGAGAUGGCAGGCUCAAUCUGGCCUCUAGGCUACCCAGCUACUUUGUAAGGCCUGAUCUAGGACCCAAGAUGUACAACGCCUAUGGUAUGAGGGAGAGGCCAGAAUUGCCCCUUUGGGGGAUUGCUCAUUUUACUUACAGAAGAUCUUUGGUCAGGGUCAUGAGUAAAGAUGAUUGAGGGCAAGUGACAGGUACUACAGAAGUUAAGGUAUCCAGGAUGGUUUUGAAUAUGUUUGCUUUGUCAUACUGAUUUGUGUAAAAUGUACGUGGGCCUAGUCUAUAAGCUAUAUGUUCCCAGGAAUUAGAUCAUUUCCUCUCAAAAAUUGUACUCAGGGAGACAUAUUCUUAGUUUUGAUAAGGCUCUGAGGUUGUGGCUCAGUGGUAGAGCGCUCACCUAGCAUGUGCGAGGCCCUGGGUUCGAUCCUCAGCAUCACAUAAAAAUAAAUAAAAACAAAGGUACAACUAAAAGAAAUAAAUAUUUAAAAAAAAAAAAAAAACUUGAUAAAAUAGCAAAAAAGGCUCAAUACCAAGGGCUGGAGAUGUGACUCAUUGUUAGUGUGUGUGCCUAGCAUGAGCCAACAAGGUAGUGAGCAUGAGCUCACUAACAUGAGCAAGGCCCUGGGUUCAAUCCCAACCCUGCAAAAUGAAAAAAACAGAUACCAUGCCACCUGUCUAUUACUUUGUAAAGUAUAGAAAUAACCUAAAUCACUGUGUAAGUUGAGCUAAUGCCCAUAGUGAAUGUCCCUAAUGCCCAUAUCUGUUUUGCUUUUAAAGGAGGGACCAUUUUCAGGGAGUGGAUUAAUUCUAUGGCUAAAGCUAAUGAUAGUGUCACCCAUGCUAGAAAUUAAUGUUAGACAGUAUAAGAGAGAUGAAAAGAAUGAUUUUUUUGUUUAUUUGUUUGUUUGCUUGCUUGCUUGCUUAUGGUGCUGGGUAUCAAAUCCAGGGAAUCAUGCUUGCUAGAAAAGUACUCUACCACUGAACUACACCCCUAGCCCCUGGGAUUUCUUGAUAAAUGGAACAGACAUACUUCACUCUCCAGUGGUACUCAUUUGAGAAUGUCCUUGAGUAUAUUUUCAGUUUUAGGCUCUCUGUGGAUUCUUCAGAAUAUUUCCCCUUCACCUUGCAUAUUUUCCUUAACCCUUUAGGCUUGAUAACUGCAGAAGACAGAAGAGUUGGCACAACAAAUCUUCACUUAGAUGUGUCUGAUGCCGUUAAUGUGAUGGUGUAUGUUGGGAUCCCCGUCGGGGAGGGUGCUCAUGAUGAAGGUAUGUUUUCUAGAAAAACUGCUUUAGGUGAUGAGACUUGGCUUCCAGGAAGAACUGAGUGUUUACCUCCUUAGUCAGGAACAGUGGCUUUUUUUUUUUUCUUUCUUUCUUUCUCUUUAUUUCCCCAGUGACUUUUUCUUAAGUUUCUACCAGGCCUGAUAUGUAGUAGGUGCCUAGUGAAUGUUGCUAGAGAAAAAGAAGUUCUAGCAGAGAAGAAUGCUACUUGUGUAUCUUUGACCAAGGGGUAGCCUCACAUGAGGAAUGAAGAAAGGACAAACCCAUCUACUUGGCCCAUCCGCCAGAUCAGCUCUGGAGUGACAGAUGUAAAGCGGGGGUCACCUGAAGCAAAAGGACCUGGAGAUAUAGCUUAGUUGGUAGAGUGCUUGCCUUGCAUGCACAAAAUCCUGGAUUCAAUCCCCAGCAUCACAAAAAAAGAAAAAAAAAAAAGCGAAGCAUAAAAGUGAUAUUUUGCUGUAAUUGCCCUCUUUUGCAAUAUUUUAUGCUGCCUAAAUGUUUAUCUCAAGACACUAAAAAGGGUGUGAUCCCCAUUGUAUUUAAGGGCCAGCUGGGUAGGACAUCUUGGAGAUCAGCUCAAAUCUCAGUGUUAAAAUUAAUGUGUGUGCCUGGGCAUGGUGACUCAUGCCUGUAAUCCCAGUGGCUCUAGAGGCUGAGUCAGGAGAAUUCCAAGUUCAAGACCAGCCUCAGAAACUUAGUGAGUCCCUGUCUCAAAUAAAAAAUAAAGGGAGUGGUGGUGAUGUGACUCAAUGGUUAAACACCAUUGGGUUCAAUCCUUGGCCAAAAAAUAAAAUAAAAUAAAUGAGUUCCUUGUGGAAGUUUCAGAAAAAUGAGAACAGUUUUGAAAAAUAACUUGAAAUGUCAAGGUUUAGGAAUAAUCAGUAUUAUUACUUUGGCAUUUCUUAUUCUGUUGUUAGAUUUGAUGCUACACACCUGUAGGCCUUUCCAUUAUGUUGUGGUUUCUUGUGGAUUAUAAUAGACAGGUAUUAGAAGCUAACCUUCUUAAUUUGCCAGAGAAGCUUUAUGCUUUGUGGACUUAAAUCAGCAAAAUCCUAGAGUUUCAAGUGGUCUUGCAAAAAUGUAUAGAAUCCCCCUACUUUCAGUAGGAAAUAACCCACAAGUUAAACAUAAGAAAUAGCUAUUCAUUUUGAGCAAGAAACAUUUUUUAAAGAAACUACCACAGGGGCUGGGGAGAUAGCUGAGUGGUAGAGCACUUAGCAUAUGCAAGUCCCUAGGUUCAAUCCCCAGCACCAGAAAAAAUAAAAAUAAACAAAAAAUGUCUACAAUUUUUUUCUUUUUUCUUUUUGGUGCUGGGGAUUGAACCCAGGCCUUGUGCAUGCGAGGCAGGCACUCUACCAACUGAGCUACAUCCCCAGCCCUACAAAUAUUUUUUUUAAAAAGAAACUACCACAGGCUGGGUAUGUCACUCAGCUGGAAAACAUUUGCCUAGUGUACAUGAGGCUCUGAGUAUGAUUCCCUAGGACUGCAGAAGAAGAAACUAGAUUACCAAAAAUAUUGAGUCUCUGUUAAGUAAAGAAAGUUUAGAGUUAUUCUUCCCUGUGGGUAGGGAGCUUAGACCAAUACAAAUUUUGCUAUUUCUUUUUGGUGGAGGAAGGGGAUACUGGGGAUUAAGCCCAGGGGUGCUUUACCACUGGGCUACAUUCCAAGUCCAAUCUCUCUUUCUAUUUUUGGUGCUGGGGAUUGAACCCAGGGGCACUUUACCACUGAACUACAUUCCCAGUCCUGUUUGUUUUGGUACCAGGGAUUCGACCUAGGGGUGCUUAAACACUGAACCACAUCCCUACCCCUUCUUUGUAUUUUCUUUAGAGACAGGGUCUCACUUUAGAGUUGCUUAGGGCCUCGCUAAAUUGCUGAGGCUGGCUUUGAACUUUCAAACCUCCUGCCUCAGCCUCCUGAGCUGUUGGGAUCAUAGGCAUUGUACAGACAUGUGCCACUGUGUCCGAUUUAAUUUUUUAUUUUUGAGAUAGUGUUUUGCUAAAUUGCUGAGACUGGCCUUACACUUGAGAUCCUCCUGAGUCAACCUUCAGAGUUACUGGAAUUAUAGGCAUGUGUCACUGUGCCCAGCUCAUGAGUUUUGAUUUUUUGCUAUGUAACUCCAGAGAGAUAGAGAAAAGACCAAACUUGUUUGAUUUGGACAUUGUAUUUCACUCAGAAAUACUGAAAUAACUAGUUACAUUGAAAUUGUCAUUUUGCUCAUUUCAGAGGUACUCAAGACAAUUGAUGAGGGGGAUGCUGAUGAGGUGACGAAGCAAAGGAUCCAUGAUGGAAAAGAGAAGCCAGGCGCAUUAUGGCACAUCUAUGCAGCCAAGGAUGCAGAGAAGAUCCGGGAGCUGCUUCGAAAGGUAUGCCUCUUGGUGAAAUGUGCUCCCAACUCUCAAAUUAAGAGUCUAGAGGGGCUGCAGAUAUAAUUCAGUUGGUAGAGUGCUUGCCUUGCAUGCAAAGGCCCUGGGGUUUGAUCCCCAGCACCAAAAAAACAAAUAAACUAAAAAAAGUGUAGAGACUGAGACAACCUGUCCAAGAUUUUUCAUGUGGAGUCCCUAGGUAUUAAAGACCUAGUGGCCAUGUACGUCUUAUCAGAAUACCCAGAAAAUCUGAGUCAGACUUCGAGCAUAUUGAAUAGAGUAAACCAGAAACUUUGGGCUUUGCCAGAAACACUAAUGUAGCAAGUUGGAUUUAUCCUGUUACUGAUUUUUAUGUAUGACAGCACAAUGAUGCACAUCUGUAAUCCCAGCUACUUGGGAGGCUGAGACAGGAGGAUGGCAAGUUCAAGGCCAGGCUGGGCAAUUUAGCCAGACCCUGUCUCAAAAAAAAAAAGGGAAGGAAGAAAGAAUGAAUGAAUGAAUGAGGGUGGUGAUAAAGCACAGCACUAGAGUAUUGUUUAGUGUGCACAAGGCCCUGAGUUCAAUUCCUGGUGUCAACAACAACAAAAAAUGUAUUUACAGUAGUUUCCCCUUAUCCAAAGGGAAAACAUUCAAAGACCCUCACUUGAAACCACAAAUAGUACCAGACCCUUUAUAUAUUUUCGUUUUUGCCUAUACAUACAUACGUAUGAUAAAGUUUAAUUUACAAACAAGGCACAGUAAGAGAUUAACAAUAACUCAUCAUAAAAUAAAACAGUAUAACAACAUACUAUAUUUAAUUUUUUAAUUUUGAGAUAGGCUGUCUCUAAGUUACUGAGGCUGGCCGGUAACUUGGGAUCCUCCAGCCUUGGCUUCCCAGGUAGCUGGGAUUAUAGGCAUGUAACACCACACCUGGCAUCUAAUUGUGCUUUACCUUUUCACUUUAUGGCUUCUCUGCCAUAUCAGAAUUGCAGCAUCACUGCUUUUGAACUUUGGGUGAUUAUUAGGUAAAAUAAAUAAAAUAAGGGUAUGUGAACACAAGCAUGGUGAUACUGUGAUAGAUAGUUCCUUUGAUAAUGGACAGUAGAAUAGACAGCCAACAUUCAUACUCUGGACAAAGUGAUGAUUCAUGUUCAAGGUGGCAUGGAGCUGUGGAUUUCAUCACACAGUACUCAUAACAGCACACCAUUUAAAACUUAUGAAUUAUUUCUGGAUUGAUUUAUUGAUUGAUUGAUUGGUACUAGGACUUAGAUUCAGGGGCACUUGACUACCAGCCCUGUUUUAUUUUGUUUAGAGACAGGUUCUCACCGACUUGCUUAGGACCUUACUUUUGCUGAGACUAGCUUUGAACUUGAGAUCCUCCUGCCUCAGCUUCCAGAGCCACUGGGAUUACAGGUGUACACCACUGUACCCAGCUAUUUCUGGAAUUUUUCAUUUAAUAUUUUUAGACCAUGACUGAUUAUGGAUAGCUAGAAUCACAGAAAAUAAAACUAUGACUAAGUGACUAAUUUUUAAAGAGAGAGAGAGAGAAGAGACAGAGAAUUUUUUUAAAUAUUUUUCAGUUUUUGGUAGCCACAAUAUCUUUAUUUUAUUUUUAUGUGGUGCUGAACCCAGCGCCCCACGCAUGCCAGGCGAGCGCGUUACCACUUGAGCCACAUCCCCAGCCCCAAUAAGUGACUAUUAAUCUUUCUAUUUUUGCAUUUUGAUCAUGGCUUCAGGUUGGAGAAGAACAAGGCCAAGAGAAUCCCCCCGAUCAUGACCCAAUUCAUGACCAAAGUUGGUACCUGGACCAGACUCUCCGUAAGCGUCUCUAUGAGGAAUAUGGUGUGCAAGGCUGGGCCAUUGUGCAGUUCCUGGGUGAUGCUGUCUUCAUACCUGCAGGAGCCCCACACCAGGUAUUUUCUAAAUUGGGGUUGGGCUCUACAGCUCCAUGGGCUUCUUUAUGUCUGCUUCUCUUUCUAAUCUGACAAGAGAGAUAAAUGGCAGAAUUCGACUGAUUGCUUCACCAUACCACAACUUACUAUUUUGCUUUUUAAUUUUCUUCCUUAUAAUUUUAUUUAUUUUCAUAGGUAUGUGAACAUAAGCACGGUGAUACUGUGAUAGUUCCUCUGAUAACAGAGAGCUAGUGGGUAAUUAAUGGGCAGUAGUAUAGACAGCCAACAUUCUUUCUUUCAAAAGGACUGAAUUUUGGAAGUAAGAUUAGAAAAUAUAUGGUCCUCUUGUGUCCAAAGAUAUGUAUGCAAUUGGCUUGAUUAGUAUUUUUAUGCCUGUUGAUGUUAGUUAAUUUGCAUCCUUAGGUAUUAAUUUUUGAUAGCAUAUGCCCACAAAAAGAUUUGUAUGCCUGUAUUCACAGAAGUUUUAUUCUUGUCAAAAUUGGAAAUUACCCUAAUAUUCAUCAGUAGGUAAAUGUACAAUCCAGUUGUAGUUUAUCAAUAUGGUAAAAUGCCACCCAGGAGUGUACAGAAACAGAUUACAACAGAUCUGUUCCAUUAUAUUGGUCACAGAAUAAUCUUAUUAUGAGAGUACUACACACACAAAGGUAUGAAGGCUGUGACUACCAGAAGGUUGGGAUUAUUUUAGAGGUUGACUGCUACAGGUAUUUUUAAGAGGCAAAUACCUAAUGGGUAGUAGGGAAUGCAAUAUAGGGUGUCUGGAGUAGGGCAGAUAAGUGAGGCUUGGAAGAAAGGUCACUGUUAGAUUAUGAUGAGAAAUUUGACUAUGUGGCAGAAAUAAAACCAGCAUUAUUGCCAGGCACAGUGGUGCAUGCCUGGUAAUCCCAGCUACUCAGGAGGUUAAGGCAAAAGGAUUGAAAGUUUUAAGCCAGCCUGAGAAACUUAGCUAGAUCCUGUCUCAAAAAUAAAUAACUCAAAAAAUGUAGCUUAGUGGUUCAGCACUUGCCUCACAUUUGUGAGGCCCUGGAUUCUAUUCCUCAGUAUUGCGGGGAGAGGUUAAGACUUGCAUUGUCCAAAAUUAAUUGUAAAGGAACUCAUCUGCAACAAUGAGAUUGCAGAUAAUGUGGGAUUAAUCUCUUUCAAAAGGACUGAAUUUUGGAAGUAAGAUUAGAAAAUAUGUUGUAGUCCUCUUAUGUCCAAAGAUAUGUAUGCAAUUGGCUUGAUUAGUAUUUUUAUGCCUGUUGAUGAUAGUUAAUUUGCAAAUUGUAUUGUCAACACACUUUUUAAUCUGCUCUGAGCAGCUCAUAAAUAAGAUUCCUUGUAAUUUUAAGUCUUAUUUCAAAUUUUUCUGACUUUUUCUCCCCCCCGACCCCUCCACAGUGCUGGGGAUUAAACCCAGGGCCUCACACAUACUAUGCAGGCUCUCCACUACUGAACUGAGUCUCUAGCCCCUUUGUUUUAAAAUUUUUGUUUUUGGAAGUAGGGGUCAAACCAAGAGGUUCUUUACCCAUAAGGUAUAUCUCCAGACCUUUUAUUUUUUAUUUUGAGACAGGCUCUUGUUAAGUUGCCCACACUGGUCUUGAGUAGCUGACCAUGUACCACCAUCGUACCCAGCAAACAUUUUUAUUUAUAAUUUAUAUGUUUGCACUUACAAUGUCUCUGUAUUUUUAUUAUCAAAAUGAAGAACUAGAUGUGGUGGUCCCAACUGCUCAGGAGGCUGGGGUCAGAGGGUCACUUGAGCCCAGGAGUUCAAGGCAAGCCUGGGCAUCAUAAGAGUCUCCAAAAAAGAAAAAAAAAAAAAGGCAGGGAAUGGAUAUAUUAUGUGGAUGUUUUGUUUGUUUUUUAUUAUCAUAGACAUUUUCCAUGAGUUAUUGAUCUCUAAUGUCUGACGUUUUACCUCUGUACUCCCUCACCCCUACCACUGCCCCCAGGUUCACAAUCUAUACAGUUGCAUAAAAGUAGCAGAAGACUUUGUAUCUCCAGAACACGUGAAGCACUGUUUCCGCCUGACUCAGGAAUUCAGGCAUCUCUCCAACACUCAUACAAAUCAUGAGGAUAAACUGCAGGUAAAUAACUUCUCCUUCACCUCACACUGUCAUUUCUUCACAUGCUCACAUACUACACAGAAGGCACAUUCUCCUCUCUGAGGGUAUUCUCUAGUUGUCUGAUAGGAGGAAGAAUGACACAGGGAAUUCCACCUCGACCUAUGGAGUCUUCCUUUCAGAAACACCUUAUCAGUCCUCAGUUCUCUUCAGUUGUGCUCUUAACCUAAUCAUCUUUUAACCUAAUCAUUUCCAGCUGGGCAUGGUGCCACAUGUCUAUAAUCCCAGUGGCUCGGGAGACUGAGGCAGGAGGAUCGAAAGGCCACCCUCAGCAACUUAAUGAGAUCCUAUCUCAAUAUAAAAAGGGCUGGGGAUGAGACUUAGUGGUAAAGUGCCCCUGAGUUCAAUCCCACUACCUCCCCCAUGCCCCCCCCCAAAAAAAAAACCUCAUUUCCAGCAUGACAGCCCCUGUUUCUCUACCCUUGGAAUGUAUAAUGUUUCUUUGUUUUGGGGGUUUUUUUUAAUUUUUUGGAGUCAUAGAUGGACAUAAUACCUUUAUUUUAUUCAUUUAUUUGUAUGUGAUGCUGAGGAUCAAACCCAGUGCUUUACACAUGGUAGGCAAGCACUCUACCACUAAACCACAACCCAGCCCAGGUAUAGUGUUUUGAACUUUAGUAACUGACUUAGACACACCUCCCUGGUCAGCACUAAGGCAGUGUAAGAAGAGAUACAGACCUAAAACUGUUUCUUAUAGCAAAGUUCUGUGCAGAUUCAAAUUUUUAUAGCUGUCCUAGGGAUUGCAGUUCCUAUCCCUGAGAAUUGCAUUUGUAGGGGUGAAAAUUGUUUUCCCCUUAUAUAAUUGAACUGGAUGUUCAGAUUAGGAUUUUUGUGGUCUUGAAAUGGAUUGGAAUUUUAAGGACAAUUUCAUUAUUAAUUCACUUCAGUAACAAAAAGAAUAAAGAAACAGGAUUCUCCAUGCAGAAGAUUUAAUAGUUUGAAUAUACACUCUCCCCAUCUUUCACUUCUGGCCUCUUCUUCUGUUAUGCCUAUUUCAUUUCUGUCUUCUUUAGUUGAUGACAAAUCAGGUUGGAAGAAAUUUUGUUGUUGUUGUGUUGUUGUUGUUUAAUUGCUGGUAGGUUUAAUCACCUUCAACUCUGAGCUUGACCUGCUUUUCAUUUUUCAAUAUUUGAAACUCAUCAGCUGGGUGAUGGACAUACCUGUAAUCUAGCCAUUCAGGAGGCUGAGAUAGGAAGAUUGCAAAUUGGAGGCCAGCCUGGGCAACUUAACAACACCCUGUCUAAAAAUAAAACAUUAAAAAGGUCUGGGGGUGUAGCUUAGUGGCAGUGUGCUCCUGGGUUCCAUCCCCAGUACCAGGGGAAAAAAUUCAAGGAACAUUUCAACCAUUAAAUUCUUACACAAAGUAUAAUCACAUUAGUAUUAUAGAUAUAAUACAAAUAUUCAAACAUACAUAUUUCAGAUAUCACCUCAGUCUCUACUUGUAAUAUAUCACCUUAUCUGUAAGGCCUUUCUUGACCCUGUUGGGCACUAUUGUGCCCGCCUGUUUGCUUUAUUUUUUAUAUUUUUUUAUAUUGAUUUCUGCUUCACCACUCCAAUCCCCUUCUAUUGUCUCAGUUUCUUCUGUAGUAGUUUUCAUCAUCUGAUAUGGUAUAUACUUUAUCUGUUUGUCACUAUUCCUUCUCAAAUGUAAGUUAUUUAAGCUCUGUGAAGGCAGGAAUUUUAUUGUUUUGUUUGUUUUUGCAGUACUAGGCAUUGAACCUAGAGCCUCGCACAUGCUAAGUAAUAAGUGCUCUACCAUUGAACUACAUUUCCAGCUCUUAUUUUUAUUUUGAGAUAGGGAUCUGGCUAAAUUGCCCAGGCUAGACACAAAUUUGUUAUCCUCCAGUCUCAGCCUCCCAAGUAGCUGAGAUUACAGGUGUACACCACCACACCUGGCUUUGCUAUUUUAUUCACUGCUGUCCUUAGCAUGAUGGCUGGCACAUAGUAGGUACUCAGUAAAUAUUUAUUGAAGUAAUAAAAAAAAAAAUAGAGACUAGCACAAGGGAGAUUUGUGUGCCCACUACAAAGUGCCCCUUAUGUUUUAUGAAAUGAUAUUAUAUAUGUAUACAACCUACAACAGUUACAUUGUUGAAUGUAUUCUUCCCCUUUCCAUUUCUCCAUUUUCCCUCCAUAGAGAUAACCACAGUCUUGGGGCUAGGGAUAUAGCUCACUUGGUAGAGUGUUUGCCUCACAUGCACAUGCACAAGGCCCUGGGUUUGAUCUCCAACACCACCAAAAAAAAAGGAGAUAACCACAAUCAUCAUGUCAUUCCUUUUUUAAAAACUGUCUUUAAGCUGGGUGCGGUGGUGCAGGUGCACACCUGUAAUCCCAGCAACUCGAGGGGUUGAGCCUGGAUGGAGGAUCACGAGUUCAAAACCAGCCUCAGUAAUGGGGAGGCACUUAGCAACUCAGAGUCUCUAAAUAAAAUACAAAAUAGGUCAAGUGCCCCUGAAUUCAAUCCCUGGUAUCCUCCCCCCCCCCAAAAAAAAAACAAACCUGUCUUUAGCCUGUUUGCUUGCUUGCUUGCUUGCUUUUUUUAUCUUUGGUACUGGGGAUUGAACCCACGGGUGUUUAAUCACUGAACAACAACAAACAACAACACAGCCCUUUUUUAUAUUUUAUUUAGAGACAUGGUCUCUCUCGCUGAGUUGCUUAGGGCCUCACUAAGUUGUUGAGGCUGGCUUUGAAUUUGAAAUCCUCCUGCCUCAGCCUCUGGGAUUUCAGGCAUGUACUAUUGUGCCUGCCUGUUUGCUUUAUUUUAAUAACUUUUUAAUUGUGUCUUCCAACUUCACAUGUAACACUUGUUCCUUUUAGGCAAAUUAAAACAUACAUAUAGGAUUGGGAUUUUGACUCAGCGGUAGAAUGCUCGCCCUAGCACAUGGGAGGUGCUGAGUUUGAUCCUCAGCACCACAUAAAAAUAAAUAAAUAAAAUAAAGGUGUUGUGUCCAGUUACAACUAAGAAAAAUAGAUAUAAAGGAGCCAGGCUUGGUGGCGCAUGCCUGUAUCCCCAUGGCUCGGGAGUCUGAGAUAGGAGGGUCAUGAGUUCAAAGCCAGCCUCAGCAAUGGCAAGGCGCUAAGCAACUCAGUGAGACCCUGUCUCUAAGUAAAAUACAAAAAAGGGCUGGGGAUGUUGCUCAGUGGUUAAGCACCCUAGGUUCAAUCCCCAGUACAAAAAAAAAAAAUUCAACAUACCAAUAGUACAAAACUACACAGCAUUAUAAGUUAUUUCCCCCCUUCCCCUUCCACUGUUCAUUGCAUCCUUAUUAGCUUUAGGACUUCGGCAAGAUUCUUUACCUUGGAACCUGUAUUUCCUCAGUUUCUCACCUAUAAAAUGGAGAUGAUAAUAGAUAUUAAUCUACCUCAUAGGAUUAUGGCAAGGAUUAAAUGAAAAUCCAUAUAAAUAACUUAGUAAUAGUACCCAGCACAUAGAUAAUGGUGAUUGUAUAGCCUUUCAAGUGAUUGUAUCAUUCUUUCUUAAAUACAGACCUGUAGCUGGGUUUGGUGGCACACACCUAUAAUCCUGGUGAUUUUGGGGAGGCUGAGUUAGGAUUACCAGUUGGAGGCUAGCCUCGAAAGACUCUGUCUCAAAAUAGAACGGGCAGAGGAUAUAACUCAGUGGUAGCUACAGGGUGUUCAGUCCCUGGUACGGCAAGGAAAAUAAAUACAUGGAGAACUUACAUUGUGCACAAUUUAUAAAUCCUGGUGGGGAGUGAUUUAGGAAGCAUGCAGUCAUUUCUUCACCAGUUGGCUUAGAAUCAGAGUAGAACUUUACAUUUGUGUUUGUGGAACACAAAAUGGAGCUGCAUUCAACUGACAGUGCUAAUUACUCUCCAGGUGAAGAACAUCAUUUACCAUGCAGUGAAAGAUGCUGUUGGUACCCUCAAGGCUCAUGAAUCCAAACUGGCAAGGUCUUAGGCACGGAGAAAUUCCAAGCUCCCUUGUGAAGCAGGUCUUUUCACUCAACACUUACAGGGAACCACAGGGUUCUCUGCUGGAGCAGAGGCCCUUCACCUGGAGCCAGUGUGGUCAGUAUUACAAACUCUCCAGCCACUCUUUCUACGCUGCCUCAACACUGAAGGUUGACACAGGAAAGUCGCACUGUUCACACACACAGUUUCUGACUCCAAGCCAAGGGUGCCACAUCCCCAGCCAGUGGCCUUUUGGGAACCCGGAUUGCCUGAACAUCGAUAGGCUUUCCUGCAUUAUUCUCUGACUUGAGAUCAUGGAAUCCAGGAAUGUGGGCACACUUUUCUUUUCCUCUUGUGCCUCGUUAAGUGGGGAUGUGUUUGGAGGUAGAGGGAAUCAUGUAACUGGUACAAGUAGGGGUGAUUGCUUAAAUAUGCCUGGUGGAAGCCUGACUGUCUCUGCACAUGACCUCUGACAUGGCCUGCCCCAGGAGAUGGGGUACAGCUAUUCCCCACACUCUCCCAUGAACACUGGAGUCUUACAGGACCCAGGGAGAACCCACUGCUUUUCCCAGGAGGCUCCAGGAUUAGGAAAUGUGUGUAUUUAGUGAAAAAUAGGUUUGUAGUGAAAUAGUUACUAUUUCAUGAAAGUAGAUAUUUUUAGAAUUUUUGAAAUACCACAGUUGUUUUCCUGGAUUAUGAGGAAAGGCACAUUACAUUUAGUCUUCCUUUCGAUAAAACUCUUUGAAGAAAUAUGAUUUUUAGAAAUCAGUUGCCCAUUAUAGCACAAAAUUAGCCAAAGCAGAAUUUAAAAGAAUUGGCUUUUUAGAAUUCUUUUAGUUUCUCCCUCUCCCCUCUCAGUCUUAUCUUGAGGGAACAGUCAUCUGAGAAAGAACUUUGUCAUGUCUGAGCUGUGGUGUGUCCCCACAUAUACAUACACACUGGUGACUCCAGGAACCAUUUUCACCUAUUACCAGCGUUCCCUUGGGACUCCUCAUUUCCAAAUGCUAAGGAAAGUUUGAUUUCCAACAUGAAGGUUUUUGUUUUUUGGGUUUUUGUCCUGAAAUAUUUUCAGCAAAACUUUCCAACUCAGUGGAGUUUUUAUUAAAAAUUUAUUUGAAAAUGAUGGAAUUCAUUGGCCCAUAGGUACAUUGGGAAAUGUAUCUCUUUCCAGCUGUACUGUAGUGCCCUGCAGGCUUGUUUAUAUGUUCACAAUUACUUUUUUUUUUUUUUUAAUAAAAGUCAUUUACUGUAGAAUACUUUUAAUUUCACUUUCUGUAUUUUAAUUUUGUCGAAGGGCUGAUUGGGAUUUCCAUGUUCUUAUUAAAAAUCUAACAAAUCUGUUUGGAGUGGACUAAAUUCUUCCUGUGGACCAACCCUUUUAAAGUCAAGGCCAUAUUGAGGGCUGGUUUAGAGGUGGGUUUUCAUUU